RNAcentral lists this long non-coding RNA (55012 nucleotides) under Setaria italica (foxtail millet). RNAcentral's name for it is "long non-coding RNA (SITA_LNC007158)". The record is from RNAcentral. Lineage: Eukaryota; Viridiplantae; Streptophyta; Magnoliopsida; Poales; Poaceae.
ACUCACCAUCAGACCCAUCUAUAUUAAUGGCCCAUCAACCACUUUUUGCUUUCAACCUCUUUGCCUCUUCGGCCACAUUCUUGUUCAAUUUUAACACCCAUAAUAGUAUCUCUCUACACACAGGUUAGCUGUCCACAAUUUUCAUCCAAUCCGGUUGACAGUAUGUUCUUACAACCGCUAAGCUAAAUCUUUGCUCACGAUCCAAAGUUCAUCAUCUAAUCUCUCAUGCAUACUGUUAUAUCUUACUUUUUUUGAGCAGGGGAGCAAUAGAUGCUUGAACUCUAAUGGCAGAAUUAGUCAGUGCUGCGAUUGUCCAGGAGACAGUUGGCCAAAUCCUAUCUGGUGUGGUUCAAAAAUAUGAGGAGAAAGAGGAAUCAAAUGAGAAAAGAAACUUGGAGAGGCUAGAGAUGGCACACAUCAGGCUGGAGGCUGCUCUUGAGACAUCUAAUAAUUGGAAGAUCACUGAUGCAUCCUUAUUGCGUUGGCGCAAGAAGCUGAAGCGUGCUGCUCAAGAGUGUGAUGACACACUGCACAAAUGCAAGCAGAGAAUCCUAGAAGACGAACAAAUGGAACGGGAGGUAAAGAAUUCCUCCCUCCCUAACCGUAUUGUGCAUGCUACCAAGUCAUUUGCUCUCUCCAUAUUUAAACGCAAUGACAAUGACUUGAGAAGAUCCAUUGCUCAAAGAUUUGAGUGGUAUGCAGAUGGUGCUAGUGAGUUUCUGAGAUUCAUAGAGCUUGGUGGCACACCACGCUGUCACAUGCCCUUUGAAUCUCUUGUCAAAAAUCUUUUUGCAGGCAAGGAACUACAUCAUAAAAUUGUUCGGGGAAAUGAGUAUCCUUUGUUUCAAUUAUGGUUGACUUCCAUCCGUAACCCAGUGCAUGGAAUGGAGGUUAGCCUAGUAUUUAUCCAGUAUGAUGGUACACCAGAGGGUAGUAUCUGCUUUAGUUUGGCCGUACAGCUCUCGGAGAGUAUAGACAUAGUUGGGAUUGCAGUUAAGUGCCUCCAGUUAUUUGCCCCUCAUUUCAAGUGUAAAUUGGAAAAUAUUAGAAAUGAACUUACUCAACUGCCCCAUGAAGACUUCUCAUGGGGGCCCUCUUUUUAUUCGGACCAUAAAGAACAUUGGGACAAACUCAGUAGCUUGUCCUCUCAGUUGAAUCGGCCAAACCCAUUUUGUUGCAAGGAGCAUGGACAGCAUGAGGUUCAACGUUUUAGCAACAUGGACAUGGCAGGAUUAUCAGAUGGUUUGCUAGAACCAGUAAUUCAAUUUACUUUGCAUUGCCACGUCUCACUACCUAUGUACAGAAAACAGAAGACCUCACUGUGUGAAGACCUAAUUUCUCUGCAAGAUUAUCCAUAUCUGAAAGCUGGGAUCGCCUUUUCGCCCCAUGGCUCUUUAGAGAACAUGCUGCCAGCGAAUAGGAGUUCUGAGAUAGUGGCGAUAGUCCACAAGGAGCAACAUUUCUUGCAUACAGACAUUACCCUGGAACAGCUAGAAGAGAUUAUGCUGCCAAAGGCAAUAGAUUACUUCCGCCAGAAUGCCGAUGCAAUGGUUUACCAAAUGCUUUGGAAGUCUAAACAUGGCUUUGCACUUAUUCAGGUUGAGAAGCCAUGCAUGAGCGCAUGGAGAUCAAGCAUGAGAAGACGGACCACUUCUGGGGGAGCUAGGAAAAGAAAGCUAUUUCAAGGAGAUGAUGAGGAGUUCAUUAGGAAUCGGAUACGUCUCUGUCACUGGCUUGACUCAUGGUUUACACAUGUGCCUGUCCGGUUGCAAAAGUCGCUCAUGAAUUGGAUUCGGAAAGAAAAAGAAAUUUUGAUAGCAGCACCACAGUUACACCUAAAAUUCUAAAUCAUUUCAUUAAAGAAGAAGAGGGUACAGAAAAACAAAACCACAACAGCUCUGGGAUCUAGAAGUGCUAUGUUCUACAUUAGGAACCUAUGCAACUGUAGCACAUCACUUGUUCUUGGUUUCAAUUUGUGUGUCUUGUAUGUGUGAUGUUUGGUUCUCACCAAUUGAGUAUACGCUGGGAAUUACUGAAUUACAUGGGAGAUCAGAAUGCAGUGCAUUUGUAAGUGUUGACUUAUAAGUGUAGGGUCAUCACUUGUUCUUAUUUUCCAUGUGACUUUCAAGUGUGUAGCUACUUUCGUUAUGAACUUUUUCAGUAAUUGGGUCGUUUUGCAUCCUUGUGAGCUGAAGUUGCUGCCUGAAUAUGUUUCAGUCCCGGAACAUGUUCUCGGCCUCCUUUUUGUGUAUUGGAUGGAUACGGUUUCCGGUCAGGGGAUUUCACUUUGGUAAAAAAUUAAAGGAAAAGAAAAAAAACUGCUGUUGCCGUUCAAGAAAUGUUUCGGUUGCUCGACCAAAGUCAGUCAAAGAAUGGAUUGCUAGGACAACGUUGACCACGUGCAAACAACUUGUGACAUGCCUCGAUGAAUGGACUCGUGCUGUCCCUAGCACACUUCUUCACGGCCGGGAAACGGGAUGCAUAGAUGAAAUACUGGAGACUAGCAGAAAGGCAGGCUGUCGCCGAUGAGGGUGUCAUGUGAGGGGUGGGUGCAAUCGAGUUCCUUCCUUGUGCAGUGAUGCAUAGAUGGGGAGAUGUUCAGAGCUUUAUAUUUGUUUCAUUCUCUGGUCCUCGUCAGCUAUCCAACUACUCUCUGUAUGAUUUCCCACGUAGAUGUUGACCACGUAAAAUAAUGCCCGUUGGGCAAUUAUAUAUACAACAGAUGACAAGUACUCAAAUGCAAAGUGUCAAAUGCAAAGUGUCAUGUUGCCGUUAAAGUCGACAAUAUAUAAACUGAGGCAACUUUAAGUCGAAGAACAAUCCUACUAUAUAUAUACAUGCACACAUACACACACACAUAUAUUGCCACAUUCUUUUCAUAGCAAUCCCCAUGCCUAACUAAUCAAACUCAUGGCAGGAUUAUCAGAUGUUUUGCUAGAACCAGUAAUUCAAUUUACUUUGCAUUGUCAAGUCUCAUUAUCUGUUUACAGCAAACAGGAGACCUCACUAAAGACCUAAUUUCUAUGCAAUUAUCCAUAUCUGAAAGUUGGAAUCUCCUUUUAUUUGUGCCCCAUGGCUCUUUAGAGGACAUGCUUCCGGCACUCUAUUUUAAUUUCCUGUUUCGUUUGGGAGCAGAAGCGUAGCCUCAUUUCUUCAAUUAAGGUUGCCCCUAAAUUAUCCUUGCUCAAGUUUAGUUCAUUAAUAUAUCAGUGGAACAUGAUAGCCAGCCAGCUAGGUCUUUUAUUUAUAAUGGAUAAAGUCCCGACUUCAACCUCUUCAUAACAGAGGUACCAGUCCACGAUUAUUACAAAAUGUAACCCAAGCUAUUAAACAGUCCAUCACAUACUUAUCAUAGAUAGCACGUAAGAACUUGUUACAACUUAUUAACACAACAUUAUUUUUUGUGAUCCAUAUUGCCCAACAAAACACUAAAGACCCAGAUAACAAAUUUAGUAAUUAGGAUACCACUUCUCGAUCGUUAAGAUUUUUUCACGUGGCACGCCAUGGCCUGUAAGGGCUCUCCUGACUUCCUGUAAAGAGCAGAAGGCAUCAUCAGUAUCAUCAUUGCAUUGAUUUUGCUCGAAGACCACCCAUAUUUCGGACAAGUAGGACAAUGUAUGUACUUUCCAAACAAGAUGACACUAGUAGAGAAUUGACCUUCAAUCCAACCCCUUUAGUCCUGGUUAAUAUUGGAUCCGUGACUAAAGUGACUUUAGUUCCAUGUCAAAAAAGUGCUACAGGGAUAGUCCCGGUUGGCAUUUCCAACCGGGACAAAACCACCAACUGGGAAAAAAGGGGUGGUAUUUUCUCCUAGUUGGAAUUUUCAACCAGGACAAAAUCUCCUCCACUAUAAAAUUACCGGAUCGAGAGCUCUUCUUCCUCCCCCAGCCAGAGCCACUCCACUCCACCAGAGACACUUGGCCUCAGUCACACCUAGUUUUAAAACAAAACCAAGUGCUACCUAUAUGUAUGCCAAGAUCUAGUUACAUACAUAUAGUGACAUCAUUAGUGAAUAAUAAAAACAGUAUCAUGUAAAAAAAAUAUAGAGUCUAUCAGAGAUUUACAGCUUAAUCCUGGUAACGAAGGCUCCAAGCUUCACAGGCAAUCAACCGGGGGUUGUGUACACCUAGAACUCAUCACCAUCUUCACAACAACUUCAUAGCAGCUUCUUCUUCUGAGCAAUGUUAGUUAUAGCAAGGGUGAGCACAUGUCGUACUCAUGAAGUGUGGAGAAAUUAUGUAUGCAAGGCUUAAACAAGGAAAGGCUUACUGGUUUACUAUGAUAAGCAGUUUUAAUUGGUCAAUUUUAUUAGCACCUGAUUACUAAGGUAUAAGUAUAUACCAACCCACAUUUAACAUAAACAUAAGCCAUAACCAUAUAGCACAACCAUAACCACGAUUGAAGUACAUCUUCAAGUAUAUUAAUCAUGUGAGGGUCAAGGCCGCUCUUGACCGUGAGCAUGGCUGAUCAAUCAGUUUUACAUCUCUGCAGAGGUCGCACAACUUUACCCACAAGUUGCAUAAAAGUUCAUAGAACUCUGAACCCAACCAUGCGGUGCUAGCUAGGCACCAUACCAUACUUCCGAGGUGUGAUUGCAUAGGGACGCUAUGAGUCCUUUACAAAGAUUCGUUAGCAUGUGGUAACCCGCUAAGGAUUCAGGUCGAAGCACAGCAUAAACCUCCCUAGUGGGCAUACGGUCUUAGCCAAGCUCCCUUCCCAAGAGGACCGGGUUAUACUCCAUCAACGCCUCCCCUCUCACCCUUUCGGUAAGAUUACCCCACACUAAAGUCUCUAAUUAAUUAGCCAAGACUAGAGCCAUAUAGUUUUUGUGAUUGUACUAUUUUCUUGGGUGGUCACUCCAUGUUCCAAUUAAGCAUUGUGAUCUUGUAUUAGUGAAAGUUAUAGCAUAAAUAAAACAAGUUUUAUCAUUGAGUUCAUUAAAACCACCAUAACCCAAGUAUAGCAGCUAAGCAUAUCUACCUAAAAGAAAGAUAAACCCAGGUUGACAAGGAAUGAUCAUAACAACUAGGCAAACCUUAAUAGGACCCAUCAAAUUAAAUGAAAGCAUAUGCAAUAGUGAUUAAAUAAAUUUAUUGGGACAAGAGCACAAGGACACACUUGCCUUCCUAUAAGUAGUGUUGCUGCUAAGAAUGUCUUCCACUUCUUGCUCUUGAAUAUCCUUGAAGUACGUUCGUUCUACUCACAUCAAUCAUCCAAGACAAACAUCCAGAGCACGCACAUACAAGCAAACAAAAGAACUAAAUUAAAAAUAGUACACCAAUCAUCAUAAACAGCACUGAAAAAUGGUACAAAACUAAUCUACACAUUAACACAAAUGCGUGAGCGAAAGAAUCACUCAAAACCGAGAGCUUGCUGGCAACGAUUAGAAACUUUCAGGGGAUUAACUGCGAAAACCAAGAGCUUAAACGCGUUAAAAACUUUGGAUUGUACUGGAUCGUGACAUUAGAACUUUUCUUGAGGGUUGAAGUGCAAAGCUACCUUAUCUUCUUCAACCUUCCUCCCGUGGCCGAUGGCAGCUCCCGACUGAUGGGGUGAGCUUCGGCUGAUAGUGGCGCGCGGUGGCAACACGGGGUGUAGUGACGGCGAGAUCAGGAGGCAUAGGGCCGGCGGCGCGCUGCACGAGGCAGGGUCGGGUACGACAGGUAGCGCGAGGCACACGAGAGGCAGGCACGGGCGUAGAGCCGGGCGGUGCUAUAGGCGGCGGCCGGUUGCUGCGGCGCUGGAGGGUAGGACGGCGGCGGGCGAGGAAAGAGACGCGAUGAGGUGAGAGUUUUGCCGGCAGAAGAAAACAGUGGCGGCUCAGGCCUUCAUGUGGAGGUGCUCCGUCGGCAGUGGAUCGGCGACUGUGAGGGUGGUGGUGAUGCACGGCGGCUCGGUGGAACCUGUGGCGCCGAUGGUUUGCUCCGGCGAGCGACGAAGCCAGCGAAUCGGGCAAGCUGGCGGCGGCACCCAGCUCGGCCGGUGGAUGAAGGGUGGUGGCACUGCGCGAGGUAAGGUGGCCGCGGGCAGCAGGGGGUCGAGUGCCCGAGGCGACCCCUUUAUAGGGCACGGGGCAUCUGGCGCGCUGGGCGCGGACGCCCAAAUGCGGCGGUGGCAGCGCCACCAAGCCAUGCUCGGCCUGGGCACGAGUAGAGCCGGCUAAUGGGCCUGGCUGGGCCUGCGGAUGGGUCGAUUGGAGCGGGUUGGGCCCACAGGCUCGGCUUGGUAGGAUAGGUUAUAUCAGUUUCAGAAAUAAUUUCUCCUGAUUGAAAAAAUCUAGAAACAUGUAGAUAAUUCCAUAAAGUCACAAAAAAUACUUUGAAAAUCCCAAUAAGUUCCAGGAAUUUGCUAGAGAUAGAUUGAGACACGAGGACUCCAAAUAAAAUACUUGCAACUCGUCAAAAGGAUUCUGGAGCCUUCAAAAAAUUAGAUUUAGCUCUUAGAAAAAGGAGAAUAAAUUUCAGAAAAAAGCUGGAAAAUUCUCAGAAGGGUCUGGACAACGUCUAAAUGCAUAUUAAAACAUUUUUGCACCCAUGAAAAACCAAGAUGCAUCAGCAUGAAUGAACAGACACAGAACAACAUUAUUAAAUUCUGAAAACAAACAAUUAUUUUUCCUACACUAAAUUUCCUGUAAAGAAAAAUAAAUGUUGGGAAAAUUUUAAAAAUUAUAAGAAAAUCAUUGUUUAUUUAUUUCUUUUAAUCACAUCCUGAAAUUCAAAAAUUUCAGGGUGUGACAAUUAUGCUGCCAAAGGCAAUAGAUUACUUCCACCAGAAUGUCGAAGCAAUGGUUUAUCAAAUGCUUUGGAAGUCUAAACAUGGCUUUGCACGUAUUCAGGUUGAGAAGCCAUGCAUGAGCGCAUGGAGAUCAAGUAUGAGAAGACAGAGCACUUCUGGGGGAGCUAGGAAAAGAAAGCUGUUUCAAGGAGACGAUGAGGAGCUCAUUAGGAGUCGGAUACAUCUCUAUCACUAGCUUGACUCAUGGUUUUCACAUGUGCAUGUCCGGUUGCAAAGGUGGCUCAUGAAUUGAAUUCGGAAAGAAAAGGAAAUUUUGAUAGCAGCACCACAGUUACACCUGAAAUUCUAAAUCAUUUCAUUAAAGAAGAAGAGGAUAAAGAAAAACAAAACCGCAACAGCUCUGGGAUCGAGAAGUGCUAUGUUCCACAUUAGGAACCUAUGCAACUGUAGCACAUCACUUGUUCUUGGUUUCAAUUUCUGUGUCUUGUAUGUGUGAUGUUUGGUUCUCACCAAUUGAGUAUACGCUACCAGAACCCGCCCGUCGACCACCUAAACGCUCUCGCCAUAGCCUCAUCUUCCGCCUAGCCGCAUCCAUGCUCGAAACCACACCCGGAUGCGCGUUCACGGGCGAGCGGCGGCAACCCGCCACCGCAUUCCAUUCAUCUCGUCGCCACCGCAAGCCGUCGGAUCACAAUCCGACAUCCCAGAUCUGGCCGCAGCCGGUCAAUACCGGUCAGCCAUGCCUUUUUGCAUUUAAGCCCUCGUGUAUUCUGCAAAUUGUGCCGCAGUCCACAGUAGUUCAAAAACCUUUUCAAAGAGGUCCUGUUUUCUUUCAUUUUUACCCCGAGCUUUUGCGAAAUCAACCCGCAGUCCUUAGAUGCACUUUUGCGUGUAAAACCUUCAGUUUAUACGCGUAAUUGUGUUUAGGUCCUCAGUUUCUUGCUGUUUAGCCCCUGGAAGUCUAGUUUUCUCGUAGAUAGGCCCCUUCAGCUUGUUUUAAGGGUAUCUUUUGCGUCUUAGCUCUGUUUUUAGCGUUGUAUAUGUCCACGGGUUCGUUUCGACGCGUAGACUGGUUUUGUAAUUUUUUUUAUUCUAUUUAUAUUGAUUGGUGUAUUAUUUUCUUAUUUAUGAAUUUGUUGCUUGUAUGUGCUCGUGUGACGCAUGUAGAAGGAACAAAGUUCGAGGAAUUCGAAGAAGAGGAAGACUAAAGACUCUGGGCAGCAACAGGGCUUUGAGGAAGGCAAGUGUCCUUGGUCAUUCCCAUUUAUACCUAAAUGACAUGCAUUAAUCCACAAUAUUUAUUUAUCGCUUGCAUUAACAUGAUGGGUUCCUAUUAAGGAUGAUGCCUAGUUUCUUUUGAUCAUACCUUGCAGUCGGGUUGUUUAAUUAAACUUGAGGGUAGAUGAUGCUUAGUUUGCUCAACUAGGUUGGUAAAUAAACAACAUGGUUAAAUUUAUUUAUUUACUCUAUGUUCCUGUUGGCGCUAGAAAUCGGCCGAUGGAAUCUCUAGCGUCGGACACACGACCCGGGAGAAUCUGCUUAACUCGUGUUCGGGUGAUUGCCCUGGUGCGGUUCGCGCGGCGUGCCAGCCAAUCUGACCUAUUGAUUGGCAAGGAAAGAAACGUGUCAGAUACCAGAGGUUGCGAUCGGCUAAGGUUCCGAUCUCGAGAAAGCUUAUCAGCGAAUCGGCCGAUUUGCUGUAAUAAAGAGAUCGGCUAUAAUGCGGCCGAUUACCGGGCAGCGUUAGUAAAGAAAACUGCUAGGAUAAUCUAAACAAUGCUACAGUAACAGCACUAGGAAUAGAUCCAAAUCGGCUAUGCAGAAAGCAAUAGAUUAAGUAAUGAAGUACAAGAGAGCCGAAAGUUCCAAUUCCUAGCUGGAUAACUGGGGAUAAAACUAGAACAAGAGGUAAAACCUAGAAUUCUAGUGAAUAUCGAUAACUGGUGAAUAAAUCUAAACGAAAUGACAGCGAUGCGCCCGAAGUUAAAGCUUAGAUAUUACUUGAUAAGCAGAACUUACAGAAUCGGCCGGAGGUCAAGUUGAUGCAUCCCCGCCAACCCGUACGAACUCGUGAAAAGGAGAAAAGUAUUGGCGAAGUCGCCUGCUCGAAAGUAAAUGCGAGGAAAUAGUAGUUUGUAGUAUUGAUUUGGUGAUGAUUACAGAUCUAUGAAGGUGGCUAUUUAUAGCCUGUUACAACCAAUUUCUUAACCGACUAGGACUCUAUCUCUAACUUUAAACGAAAACAAAUAUGUACAAGUGUGAUUCGCAUCAGAGUUGAUCGUCGCAUUCUCAUGGGCUAACUCCUUCUUUUUCUUCAUAGUUCACUUUAAGCCCAUACUGGCCCAAUUGCUCCAGCCAAUCGGCCGAUUUCCACCAACCCCAUCCGUGGAAACACUGCAGCACCAAUCAGCCGAUCCUUAACUGUAGCACCAAUCGGCCGAUUCCCAUUCGUGACCCCUGUAUCUUGCCGCAUCUCCCGAUUUCUUCCUUUUCUGACGCCGAUUUCACAUGUGUCAAAAUCUGGCGUCAACACAUGCCUCCCAGUUUCGGAGUAAAAUAGUCUUUACUUCGAAAUUCUUUUCAACUUCCCUUCCGAAACAAAUGCAUUGAAAAUAUCCUUCCAUUUCGCGGUCUCCAACCUGAUGAUUGCAAUCUUUUCGAAAUGGGCGCCCACGACAACCACUCCUCCCGAAAAAAUCGAAACGCCGACGCGGUAAAAAUUCCACUUUUACCCCUUCUCAGACCACCUUUAAAUACCAGCUCAUCCCGUACUUCUCUUCACAAUCUCACGUCUUCCUUCUUUAGCGCUCUGAGCUUCUUCUUCCUCCGGCGCCUUCCUUAGAUUCUAGUUCUUUUUCUCCGACAUCUCCUUCCAUCUACACUCCACCCUACUUCUCUAAUGGAGGCACCCUCAGGCACCUCACCAACUCCCGAAGCUCCGGAGGCUCCAAUGGCAAUGGCGACGGCUCCAUCGGCGGGAGAAGGAGUUCCACUAGCGGGAGUUGGGGCUCCGACUGAAGUCCCAUCAGCGGCUUCAGCACCCGUGGCUCUUCCGGCGAUCCCACCAACUACGAUGAGCUUCAUCCCGGAGGUUAUUACCGAAACUCUCCUUUCUUUAAUAAUAAUGCAUUUACUUUAGAUCCGUUCUUACUUCCGCACCCCCUUUUUUCCUUUUUUAGGCGGUUAGGCAUCAGAUUACCAUCCGUCUCACAGAAACUCCUGGCCUUAUCUGUCUUGGUCCCAUGGGAAACCCAGAUCCAACCGAUCUAAUCAAUUUGGAAACCCAUAGGAUACCUUUUAAGCAAUCAACCAUGGACCUAGAUCACUGGUCAGGUACCUUCAGGUCAUGGCCGAAUGAAACCCCCGGCUGGAGAGAAUGGUACCAACGGAUAGCCUCCUCCAAGAGAGUCCAAUAGGACAAGCACAAAAUUGGCCAAUGCAUCGAUCUAUCUCUAUCCCAAAUGGAAAGGAAUGAGCCCUUAGUUAUAGCAGCCUCCUAUUUUUGGUUCGAUGCCCUCAACGCAUUUCUCUUCGGACACGGGCCUAUGACUCCCACCCUGGCCGAUGUGGUCAUGUUGACCGGCCUUGACGUCUCCUCUCCAGAUACUCCUUUUUGUCUUCUAACCAAGACAUCUCAUCGGCUGGAUACAAAAGGAAUCGGCGGAUGGAAGGGAUUCAUCAGAUGCAACAGAAGGGCCGGAUCAGUCGAAAAUAGGGAGCAUGCGGCCUUCCUGAUGAUGUGGCUAGAGAAGCAUUUUUUCUGUGGGAGAGCAGCCGGUCCAUCUACCAAUACCGAGGCUCUGGCUGAGGCACUAUCGAUAGGGGCCUCUGUUCCCCUUGGGAAGCAUUUGUUGGGAUCGGCCUACCAUAUGCUGCAUCAAAUCGGCGUCAAACUGUCCCAAGGAGAGCCGAUUGGAAACCCAGGGGGACCCUGGUGGUUCAUCAAUUUGUGUCUUAAUCUAUACAUGAGCAAGAUCUCCCAGCAACGAGUGGAGCACAUGACAUUCCCCAACAUCGAAUCGGCAGAAAAUCCUACUAUCCGACGCAAAUGCACGUCCUUCGGCGAAGCAGCGUUGGCCUUUUCUGGUUGUUCAUAUUCUGCUACCAAGGUGGCCGAAUAUUUCAGAUGCUUCUAUAAUGGCUUCAGCGAAGAUGCAACCAACUGGUUCCCUUAUCAGAGGGAUGAUCCAAUCUUCGAACUCCCUUCUUGUUUUGACUCAGCCACUGGCAAAUUCGAUGAAGACCUCACAGACGAACUAAUCAAGCCGGGGAUCUUACCGGCAAACUUAUUCUCGGGGAAAGAUGCCCCUACUUAUGAGUUUUACAACCCCUCCGUCGCAGCACGGCAAUUCGGCCUGGGUCAACUGCCGAUUUACGCAUACUUCGCCGGCCGAGCAAAGUUUAGAGACGAACUUACCAAGGGUCUUGACUAUAGCUGACUGCGUGAUCGGAUCCCAGAUUCCAGCACCAUAGAUCUGACCGGUUGGAUAGUAGCUCCUUUCGCCGUUCAGCAGUUCAAGCUUUGGUGGGCCGAAUGGAAGCAGCACCUAUUCUGCGCUUCUGCGGCGGUAUACUGCAAUCUCCUGGAUCCAGACAACAUUGAUCUGAAUGCCGAGGUACCUUUCUCUCUGGCCGAUUCUUAUCUCCCUUCAUCUCUUUUUUUUAUAUAUAUACUGACUCUUGCUAUCGCUUCAGUCUGAGAGCUGUGCUCCCCCCAAACGCAGCCGGAGUGGUCGGCUGAUAGAGGACCGUUAUCCGUACACAGCAUUCCUCCUCAUCGGCUAUCAUGCCCCUUCUGUUGAUGACGUAGCCGGCUGAGUGAAACAAGCGCAGAAUAAGGUCAUCAAGAAAACCAGUCGCCGAGUGCGCGCUCGUACAGAAUCGGCAGAUCCACCUAUAAUCGCAUCGGCGGAAAUUUCGGCCGCGCCAACCCUUCCGGUUGCUGAAGAAGUCGACCUUCAAGAAGCCGGAGCAGCCGCCGCAUCAUUAUUGGUGGAAGCUAUGCAGGUAAACUCACCGUCCGAUUUCUCUUGAUCGCCAUUUCAAUACUGACCUUUCUUAUAUUAGGCUGCACAACAAUCGGCGGCGUCCCAAGCAGCUGCUGAAAUGCCGGCACCCCCUCCCAUUGAGGUACACGGUCUUUCAACCCAGUCUCUAAUAUUUGAAUGAUGAUCUUACUAGCUUCGACGCAGGUUACCGGCACGCUAACCAUGCUACCCGAUCAGCCAUCGAUCACCCCUCAAGAGGCCGGCCCGAGCAAAGCGUCGAUUAUCGUUGAGUCUUCUUCUUCUGAUGAGCCAAUGGCGCUAGUUCCAGGGUUGAGAGUGGUGGUCUUGCAAACGCCGACUGAAGAAAUCCUCUUUAAAGAAGUAAGAAAUCUCUCAACCUUAAUCGACCGAUUUGCUACCAUCAUCGGCUGACUUGUUUUCUUUUCAUCUAUCAUUUUGUAGGAACAGGACACCCCCAAUAACAGCCUCUUUUCAUUUGCUGUCGCACUUUUUGAUGACGAGGAAGUUGCUUCCCGUCAGGUUACUUUAAGCUCCGUCCCUGAUGAUGUCCGCGCCAAGCUCGAAAGCAUACGGUCCCUUCUUCAAGAGGACAUCGGCCGAUUGGUAGAGGAUGCUUCGCCAAUUCGGCACCUCUUCGGUGAUGUCAGUGGGCGGGUCCUAGAGGAAGCGGAAGAAGCCUUGGCGCCAGCUGCUUAUAUUGAGUCAAUGCGGAUCCCGGUCUUCAAGGCUCUGCGUCACAUGGCCGACCGUGCCAAACUGACCAACACUCGUGAAGAAGAGGACUUGUACAAGCACCGGGCCCAGGAGGUACACCAACGCAUUCAUUUUCUUGAGGACUCCCGUCCUGGGCUCGUCGGCACGAUAGAUCGCCUCAAACGCUGAAGAGCAGAACUCGCCAAGGAGAUGGAGCAAGUAACCAAGGAAAUAGCCCUUGAAGAGAAGAAGCUCCAGAAACACCCCUCCGUUAUCGCCGAUUUAAAGCGGGAGAGGCAGCAUCUGGCCCAUGAAGCCCUUAGACUCCACCGCAAUGUGCCAAAAGUUCCAGGGUUGGCAGAAGAUGACCAACGGGUUUUGGACUCGGCCGAUCAGAUCCGACGUCGAGCGAUUGCGGCCAUUAACGCCCUUCUGGGCGAUCUGUAAAAGUACUGGUCGUUUUGUAAGAACAUUAAUGCCCUUUUGACCGUCCUUCACGGCGCCUUCUUCAUUCAUUGCCCUUCUGACGGGAUGCAUCUUACCAAACAUCCGCGCUUUCUCUACUUAUAAAUGCCAGCCUUGGUUUCGCUUUUGAGACCGCCCACCUCGCUCGAUUCCUUUUUCCCUGAUUCGUUUCCGUCGGAGCAUUUUGCGGUCAUGUCUUCCUCAUCUUCUUCUUUUUCCUCUGUUAACCAGGUAAGAGAUCCGCCUCCGCCCCCUCUUCUUUUUUUUUAGUUUGACUCCCCUAAAGCACUCCAUCUUAGGUGAUUAUAUGUUGUUUCUUUUCUCAGCCACGGCGCCUUAGUCCUGAACUCGAACGAGCAAUCGGGCUCGUGUAUUCUGACGAACCAUUAUUGCAAGAAGACAAGGACCUGAUUAGGGCUCACCGUGAAGAACUCAAGGAUCACGUCCCCGCCGAUGUCCAGCGGAUCUGGGACUUCAUCGACGGCAAUGACUAUGAGCGACCUCAAGUUGACAGGAGCCACUCGCUCCCUCGUCCAGUUGCCCUUGAAGAUGCCGCGGCAGGGGCGUCGCGUCCGGUGAUAGAUCGGAGUCAUCCUCUCCCUCGUCAAGUUGAAGCGGAGGCCGCGAUGAACGACAUAGAAGAAUGAAGUCUCCGCCUUCUGAUAGAACUAGGCCGGAUUGAGAUAGAACUCAAGAAGAAGCGUGGUUGAUUAUUUUUGUUCUAAGGGCGACUUGUACUGUGUCGGCCGUGUAAUCUGUCGUCCGUACCAAAUAAUAAAUCGGCCGAUUUGGACGCUUACAUUUUUCCUUUAGGCGAUUUUCUUUCGUAUCGGCUGUGUGUUUGUUUGUCAUAUUUUGCGAUCGAUUCUUAUGCUCUGACCCAUAUACUAGGGUACUACCUUUUCAAGUACCUCCCGUUCAAAGCCCUAGUGAACUCUUCUCCUUUGAUUGUUUCCAAAAUGUAAGCAUUUCUUGGGGCGCAUCGGCCGAUUUUAUACGGCCCUUCCCAAGUGGGAGACCACUUACCGAAUUUAGGAUCCUUUGACCCAAUCGGCAGCACUAACUUCCAUACUAGGUCCCCCGAGGAGAACUGCUUGACUUUGACCUUCUUGUCAUACCAUCUGGCCACUUUCUUCUUGUUUUCUUCAAUACUGAUCAAAGCUCUUAAUCGUUGACCCGCCAAGUCAUCAAGCUCCCUUUUCAUGAGCGAGGCGUAAUCAUCGGCCGUCAGCUGAUCUUGGAGCGACGUGCGUCUUGAUCCUGUUCUCAAUUCCCAAGGCAGUACUGCCUCAUGACCGUACACCAACUGAUAAGGAGACACUUUGGUGGCCCCGUGGCAGGCCAUCCUGUAUGUCCAUAGAGCUUCGGUCAGACAUAAAUGCCAUUUUUUGGGCUAUUCUUCUAUCUUCCUCUUGAUUAACUUAAUUAUCCCUUUAUUGGAAGAUUCAGCCUGACCAUUAGCUUGGGCAUAGUACGGAGAGGAGUUUAGCAGUUUGAUUCCCAUAUCGGCCGUGAACUCUUCGAAUUCUCCCAAUGUAAACAUCGUUCCUUGAUUGGUUGUGAUAGUCUGAGGGAUGCCGAAGCGAUAGACGAUAUGGUCCCUCACGAAAUCAACCAUGGCAACCGAUGUUACGGCUUUUAACGGAAUCGCCUCCACCCAUUUGGUGAAAUAAUCUGUGGCUACUAGAAUGAAUUUAUGUCCUUUGCUUGAUGGAGGAUAAAUUUGUCCGAUGAGGUCUAUUCCCCAACGUCUGAACGGCCACGGCUUGAGGAUUCAUAGCCGAUUCGGGCGCACGUUGCACAUUCCCGUAUCUUUGACAAUCUUGGCAUCCUUUAUAAUAUUUGAAACAGUCUUCGAGGAUUGUCGGUCAGUAGUAUCCAUUAUUCCUAAUCAUCCACUUCAUCUUAUGUGCCGAUUGGUGGGCUCCACAUACUCCUUCAUGGAUUUCUCCCAUCAGGGUCUUCGCCUCCUCUACUCCUAGGCAUUUGAGUAGAACACCAUCAAUCGUCUGGUAGAACAAGUCAUUUUCUAGUAACACAUAUUUUGUGGCCUGAAACCGUAUUUGCCGAUCCACUUUCUUAGACAGAUCUUUUAAAUAAUCGGUGAUCUCCUUUCGCCAGUCGUCGGCCGCGAGCUCUAGAACCAUGGCGCCCUAAAUCGGCCGAUAUCCAGACGCGUGUUGGGCGAGCCUGUUGGCCUCUUCAUUAUGACCCCUAGGGAUAUGCUCAAUAACCGCGGACCUGAAUUCUUUCAGAAGUUGGAGGCAAUCUUUGUAAAAAAUCCUUAAUAUGUCAUCCUUACAUUCGGACCUUCCUGUCAGUUGGUCUAUGAUGAGCAUGGAAUCCCCAAAAAUCUCGACGGCGUCGGCCUUGAUCUCUCUGAGCAAGUGUAGCCCUUUUAACAUGGCUCUGUACUCUACUUGGUUAUUAGUGGCGGAUGCUUCUAUCGGCAGAGAGAAAUCAUAGCCUGCCCCCCGAGGCGAUGUGAGAACGAUGCCAAUUUCUGAUCCGGCCCCACAUGAUGAACCAUCAAAAUAUAAGGUCCACGGUACUGGCUCCACAACGGCGAUUUCUGGUCCGCAGUGCUGGGCAACGAAAUCGGCCAUAACCUGACCUUUGAUGGCUUUUGCCGAUUCAUAUCGUAAAUUGAACUCAGAUAAAGCCAAGAUCCAUUUUUCGAUUCGUCCUUUCAAAAUCGGCAAUGACAGCAUGUAUUUUACUACGUCGUCUUUGCACAUGACUACACAUUCUGCUGAUAACAGAUAAUGUCUGAGCUUGGUGCAUGAGAAGUAAAGGCAUAGGCAUAGCCGCUCUACCGGGGGAUAUCUUGUUUCGGCGUCCACAAGUCGUCUGCUAACAUAAUAUAUUACCCGUUCUUUUCCUUCAAACUCCUGAACCAAAGCCGACCCGAUAGCUCGUUCAUUGGCUGAUAAAUACAGUUUAAACGGCUUACCAGUUUGAGGUGGAACCAAUACUGGUGGCGAGACCAAGUACUUCUUGAUGUCUUCUACUGCUUUGCGUUGUUCUUCCCCCCAUAUGAACUCUUGGUCGGGCUUUAACUUCAAUAAUGGUGUGAAGGCCUGGAUACAUCCGGAUAGAUUAGAUAUGAAUCUUCUGAUGAAAUUGACCUUGCCGAUUAGGGACUGCAAAUCAGUCUUAUUCUGUGGGGCCACGACUUUAUUGAUGGUCGCUAUGGUCUUCCGGUUGAUUUCUAUCCCACGUUCGUGAACCAUGAAUCCCAAGAAUUGUCCGGCGGAUACGCCGAAGGCACACUUGUUCGGGUUCAUCUUCAGCCCAUGUUUUCUCGUGCAUUCCAGUACCUGCUGCAAAUUGGCCAGAUGUUCCUGGUGUCCUUUUGAUUUGACUACGACAUCAUCGAUGUAAAUUUCCACCAGAAUGCCGAUAAGUUUGUGAAAUAUGUAAUUCAUGGCUCACUGAUACGUAGCGCCGGCGUUCUUCAAACCAAAAGUCAUUACCACCCACUCGAAUAAACCAAGGUGACCCGGGCACCUGAAGGCCGUCUUGGAUAUGUCUUCUUCAGCUAUUAGUAUCUGAUUAUAUCCAGCGUUUCCAUCCAUGAAACUAAUAACUUUGUGUCCCGCGGCAGCAUCUAUUAGCACAUCGGCCGUUGGUAUUGGGUACCCGUCCAUCAGUGUGGCCUGACUGAGAUUCCUGAAAUCGAUGCACACACGGAGCUUCCCAUUCUUUUUGUACACGGGUACAAUGUUGGAGAUCCAUUCGGCAUAACGGCAUUGCCGAAUAAAUUUUGCUUCGAUUAGCCUUAUGAUUUCAGCCUUUAUAUCGGGUAGGAUUUUAGGAUUACAACGCCGUGCGGGUUGCUGAUACGGCCGAUAUCCCGGCUUUAUGGGUAACCGGUGUUCGACAAUGGACCGGUCUAAUCUGGGCAUCUCAUGGUAUUCCCAAGCAAAACAAUCUUUAAACUCUUUUAAUAAACUUGUCAAUUUACAUUUGUAUUUUGGAUCCAAAUUAGCACUAAUGUACGUCGGUCUUGGCUUGGUGCCAUCGCCCAAAUCUAUCAUCUCUAAUGAAUCGGCCGAUGUGAACCCGUGCCCUAGCUUUCCAUCUUCCCGGACGAACUGAUCCAUUUAAUCAGAAUCUUCGGAGGCGACUGCUCGGAUCGGCUGUAGAUCAAAAUCGGACACCUUCAGGAAAUCGGUGUCCCAUAUCGUCCCAAAUAUGCACUUGACAUUCUCGCAGCUCCAUUGCUGUGUAUCGGCCGCCGUGACACUGUAUGCGGAAUCGGAGGUGACCACUUCGAUGUUGUCGCCGACCCACUGCACGAGGCAUUGGUGCAUUGUAGACGGGAUGCAACAAUUUGCAUGUAUCCAGUCUCGGCUGAGUAGCAUGUUGUAGGACCCUUUGCAUUAAUAAUAAAGAAAGUAGUGGGAAGGGUCUUACUGCCGAUGGUGAGGUCGACGCAGAGUGCGCCGCGGGCGGGAGACACGUUGGCUUCGAAGUCCUUGAGCAUCAUGUCUGUCUUGGUCAGGUCAUCAUCACUCUUCCCUAGCUUCCGAAACAUGGCGUACGGCAUGAUGUUAACAGCAGCUCCUCCGUCUACUAGUAAUCUGGUGAUGGGUCGGCCGUUGACAUGCCCCUUGAGGAAUAAUGCCUUUAGGUGUUGUCGUUUGUCAUCCUCAGGUUUCUCGAACGUGGCUGUCAUUGGCUCUAGAGCCAAUUGUGCCAUCUGUUCUUCUAUUGCCGACAUGUUCUAUCGAUCGGCAGGAGUCAUGAAUUCCAUCGACAGGAUAAAAACCAUGCUGACGCCGGCUGCCAAUUCCUGGUUGUCGUCGUCUUCCCUGUCAUUUCUUUUAGGGCGCCAGACCUGAGGCUUGCCGUUUUUCUCGUCCAUCAUAUGUUGUUCCUCUUCCUCCUGUUGUUCCCAUUGGCGGAGACGUUGUAUUCUUCGUUUUUGAGACUUAGUCAAUCCGUCAGGGCACCACCUAGGGUUCACAGGUUUAGUCGGUGGCCUGGCGCGUUCCCAUUCUGGUUUGCGUCCUAAGGGGUUCUCAUCUGAUACGCGAGCAUCAGCUAUCUCUUCCAGCCGAUCAUGAGCGCUGACCCUAUUUUCUGGUUGGCUGCGCCGAUCGAAUCUGCCCCCCAGCCUAUCGUUUCGCUCACGCCUGUCUUCCGACCGGUCAUAUCGUUCACUCCUGCCCCCCAGCCGAUCACGCACUUAAGGGUGCCGAUCUUCUUGUUCGCGCCAGUUCCUGCUGAUCGGCUCUGGCCUUCCAUCUCUGGAACGAGAUCUCCUGAAUGGCCGAUUGUUACGAUACGGGCCGCUGCACUCAGGACAAUUAUCAGCCGACGGCAACCUAAGGUUGUUCUCCCAGCAGUGGAUGAAGAAGGGGCAUCGCCAGUGAUCUUCAUGUCGCCGCAUCGCUUCCUCCCGGAAUCUUCAGCUUUCUUGUUGCCGUUGAUAUUUGUUGAGCAGAAAUUGGGAGGUGACGGGCCUGCGUGGUUCUCCCGAUCCGUCGCCUUCAUCCUCCAUCCGCCGUUUCCCCUUGAUGUCUUCAGGCGCCGCUUGAUUUCUGGGGUCUACGGCACCGCUCUUUUUAGCCGAUUCAGAUGUUAGCACCUUGGUCUGGAGUGAAUUCUUUCCCAUGUCAAUCAUGUUGGUGGGGAAGGGGUGCUGGUCGAUCUUCAUCGGCUUGGCCGGCUUUGUUGGUACUUCAAAUUUGAGCCUGCCUUGUUCAAUGGCCGAUUGUAUCUGUUGUCGGAAGAUUUUGCAUUCAUUUGUAUCGUGAGAGGUGGCAUUAUGCCAUUUGCAAUAUUUCAUCUUCUUCAGUUGCUCGGCCAACGGGAUCGUAUGGUAUGGCGAGAGCUUGAUCUGUCCUUCCUGGAGGAGAAGAUUGAAAAUUUUAUCGGCCUUUGAUGUGUCGAAACCGAGUGCUUCCGGCUCCUUUUUCCCGAACGGACAUGAUAUCGGCUUUUUUCCUUUAACCCACUCCGCCAGGCCGAUUUCUGUUUCUUCUUUGGAUUCAGCCUCCUCUAAGUAUGCUACCUUCUUCUGGAAAUUCCGUCGCGGAUCAAAGGGGCGUACUUCCUGACCAGACAAUCGAUGCACGAUUUGGCUCAAGCUCUCAAACUCCUGUGAAGCAUAUUUCUCUUUGAUAUGAGGCAGGAGACCCUCGAAGGCUAUGUCGGCCAAUUGUGCGUCAGUCAGGGCUAGGGUGUAGCAUUUGUUCCUGAUCUCCCUGAACCUCUGCAUAUACGAGGGUACCGGUUGAUCACUUCUCUGUCUGAGGCUGGUUAAAUCUGAAAGUUUCAUCUCGUGUACCCCCGUGUAGAAGUAUUUGUGAAACUACCUUUCUAGGUCAGCCCAUGUAAUUAUCGAGUUGGGUGGCAGUGUAGUGAACCAUUGGAAGGCUGACCCGGACAGGGAUGACGAGAAGAGGCGCACCCGUAAAGCAUCUUGUGUAGCUGCCUCCCCGCAUUGAAUGAUGAAUCUGUUCACAUGUUCGACAGUUGAGGUAUCAUCAAGCCUCGAAAAUUUGGUGAAAUCAGGAACUUUGUACCGAUGAGGGAACGACAGUAAGUCAUAAGUAGGCGGGUAUGGCAUCCUGUAUGUGUAGGUUUGCACCUUUGGUUUUAAACUGAAUUGAUCUUGGAUCACCUCCGCUAUGCGCGCCGUCCAGUCUGGUUGUUGUUGAUGCACUAUCGGCUGGGGAACCGGCACGUGUUGGUAGAUCAGCGGCGGGAUGACCGGGUGCUGGACGAAAGCAUGCGGUGCCUGAUGCGAUGCGGCUGGCUGCGUAGUCGGCAUCGGUUGUCUUAGUGAACCGGCUGUUUCGUCAUAUAGCACGAUCGGCGCAGUGCCCCGAAGUGUUUCCAUUGCUUCUGCCUCCCUGCUGAUCUCCGGUGUGACUGUCUGAUACUGUGGCAUCGUCGGCCGCGCAGCCGAUUGGAAAGGUACCUGGAUCGGAGAGCUUCCGUGACCGGCUGAUUGAUCUUGGACGGCCGUCGCCGAUGGUGCCCCCCAAGGCACUGCAUUCAGAGGAGACGACUACACAAAGGAUGACUGAAUGGGCUGCGGCUAGAGGUAUGGCGCGCCGUUAGGCCCCAGAUGUAUUGACGACGAAGGGGUGCUGGAGCUCCCAGCUUGAGCUUGGAUCGGCUGAGGAGCCGAGUAGGGUAUACUUGGACAACUCCUGGCUGAGGCCAUGAUAGGUGGGGCGUACAUUGGCCCCUGGUACCCUUGGGACACGCCGUUGGCCAAGGAGCUGAUGACGACAUUAUACACCGUAUUAGAAAUCACCGGGGAUUGAUCAAUGAAAGCUUGAUAGAUAGAUUGCUGAACCAUCUCGGACAUCUUGCCCGAGUCCUCGGCGAUUGUGAUCUGGCGGGGAGUUGGAAACAGAAUCUUUUUGAUAGUCUCCCUGCUCCUGGUACGACUGAAGGAUUGCAGACACGUCUUCCAGUACAAUGCCAUCUACUUUUCCAACUCUUCCUUCUGGUCGUCCUUGAGGUCUGCUUCCGUCAUCUCGAUGACGUUGUCUUCCGAGACUUCGGCAGCUUUCGACAUAGUGAAAAGGAGAAUCGGCCGGAGGUCAAGUUGAUGCAGCCCCGCCAACCUGUACGAACUCGUGAAAAGGAGAAAAGUAUUGGCGAAGUCGCCUGCUCGAAAGUAAAUGCGAGGAAAUAGUAGUUUGUUGUAUUGAUUUGGUGAUGAUUACAGAUCUAUGAAGGUGGCUAUUUAUAGCCUGUUACAAUCAAUUUCUUAACCGACUAGGACUCUAUCUCUAACUUUAAACGAAAAAAAAAUUUUUACAAGUGUGAUUCGCAUCGGAGUUGAUCGUCGCGUUCUCAUGGGCUAACUCCUUUUUCUUCAUAGUUCACUUUAAGCCCAUACUGGCCCAAUUGCUCCAGCCAAUCGGCCGAUUUCCACCAACCCCAUCCGCGAAAACACUGCAGCACCAAUUGGCCGAUCCUUAACUGUAGCACCAAUUGGCCGAUUCCCAUUCGUGACCCCUGUAUCUCGCCGCAUCUCCCGAUUUCUUCCUUUUCUGAUGCCGAUUUCACAUGUGUCAAAAUCUGGCGUCAACAGUUCCUCUAUAUUGAUUUAAUUACAAGACCAUAUCUGUUAAUUGGAACAUGGAGCGACCACCCAGGAAAACAGUGCAACCACAAGAACUAAAUAGCUCUGGUCUUGGCUAACUAAUUAGAGGACUCUAGUGCUAGACCGGUGAUAGGGGGGCAUGACUCGUGGAACCUCGUGCACUAGAACACACUAGGGAAGUCUUUGUAUAGGCCUCGUAGCGUCUCUAUACAAUCACACCUCGGAAGUGUGAUAUUGUGCUUAUUUUUGCACAGCAUGGUUGUCUAAAGUUCUCCUGAACUUUUACGCGACUUGUGAGUAAAGGUACAACCUCUGUAGAGUGUAAAAUUGAUAUAUCAGCCAUGCUCACGGUCAAGAGCGGCUUGGACCCUCACAUGAUUAAUUCACUUGAAGAUUAAACAACUUGUGUUUUUUGUUAUAUUCACGCUUUUGGUAUAUCAAUGCUCUAAAUUAAUUUUGGGGAUGGUAUAAACUUACAUUUGCUAGUAAUUAACUAUUGAAUAAAACUUGACCAACUAAAAGUGCUAAUCGCAGUUAACCUUGUCAGCCUUCUACCAUAUAAAGCCUUGCAUGUCAUAUAUUUUUUCUCUUGACGAGUACGGCAUGUGCUCACGCUUGUGUUUUAUAUAUUGCAUCUUCAACGUUCAGAUUGCUGCUCAGACUCAGAAAACUUUGAGGAUACUAUUGGAGAUUUUAGAGGAGUUCUAGGUGAGUUCCCCAGUCAGCUGCCUCUGGAGUUGUUGGAGAUCCGCUGCCUAUAUAUUAGAGAUUUUUAUCUCAUUUUUCUGGUUUCGUAAUCUAUGUAACUCUCUCUUUACUCUUUAACACUGUAUUUGAUAUUUACUGAAGUCACCGUAUGUGUGAAACUUGAUUCUGACACACAUAUGAUAGUCAUCUGGUUUUGCCUUUAAAACCUGGUGUGACACCAGACGGGUGUGCUACUUGCUGUAUUCCAUCAGAAUUAUCAUGCAAAUUCGUUCCCGGAGCAGGUUAUUCUGAUACACAUCGAAUGCUACGUUUCAGCAUUUGAGUGCAGCUGGUGCAACUGCAAGAAACCUCGUGGGUCACUGGCCGCCUCUGAAGCUGAGAGUGGGCUUCGUGCCUCAUCUGUUCCAAGAAUGCAUGCAAGGGAGAACUUCAGUUGAGAUAAUCGGAGGGAAGGCAGAACAUAUAAAUGAUAGCCUACAACAAAUGGAUAAGAUGGUACGAACAAAUGCAAUCAAACAUUACAUUUGUCAACCUGAUCUGACGGAUUAUAGAAUGGGUUGGAAUCCAGGACACGGCGCUGCCUACUUCAUGGUGCAGCACUGAAAUAGCAAGUGCAUCAAAAGUCGACUCUGGAUUUGAGACCCAGCGAGCUGCAAAGAGAAGGCGGUCGAAGUUAGAGGCAUGAAAGUUCAGGAACUCAUGCUUAGCCUAUGUAUAAGAUGGUGUUUAGGUUCAAUCAUGUACUGAGAAAGUAGCAUUUUCCUAUUUGAUAUGUAAACAAAUCUUCUUUUUUCUGUUUGGUAUCAGGAUUUUGGUCAUGUAACAACUGUAAUUUUAUUUUCUCAUUUAUAAUGAAGCUGAAUUUUGACGCAUGUGCUUUGCACAUUUUUUGAAAAGCUGAGUUUUAUAUUUUUGCUUCUCUAGUUGAGUGGAACAGGGAGCUUGUGGGACCUAUCAAUCCUUGCUUUAGUUGGGAUAAUUGAUCUAGAGUUGUGCUUUUAGUCUAGCAUACACAAAUACUAUCAGACAUAUGUGAGAAUAGGGGCAGUUGGAACAGGGGAACUGUAAACCAUUGAGUACACAAGGAUGCCAUGAAAUUUGUCCAUGCCGAUUACUGAGAUAUUUGUUUCACCCUAGUCGUUGCUGAUUUCCUUGCUCACCCGCCUCGUGAUUUGAGGCAAUCCUUCUAUAAUCAAUGUUCUGUUUUUCCUCCCUAUGCCUCACCCUAGUCUUCUUCUUUUUCCUCUCUAAUCUUGGGCAUCACUUCUCCUUCUUAAGUUUUCAUCUUUCCUCGCAGCACUAAGUUGGCAUCUUAAACACGGCAUGAAAAUUAUUCCUGCAAACUAGGAAUGUUCGAAUAUUUUCUGUUAUUGACAAGUGGCAGUUCAUUCAUCUGGAACCUUUCAAAGAAGAAGACAUUGUUGAAUUCCUUGUUCAGUGGUGUGCAAAUUAGAUAUGUCGCAUUAUGCUUUAUUCACCGGGUCUUGGAAGUAAUCCAACCACCCUCAAAUGAUGAUAGCUUUAUGCAUACUGGCCAAUUAUGUGCAGACACGUACUGAAGUGCAGAUUGUCACUUUGCUCUGAAGUCAAUACACAAUUUGGAAACAAAGUCAAGUCAAAAUAUAAUACCCAUGUAUAUGUCAAUUUAUCCCCACCCUCAGUAUCAUUUUCUUAUCUUGCUCUUGAAAUCAUCCUGUUAUUGACUAAUUGACUACUACCUUCUUCUCUGCAAACUUCAUAUCACUUUCUUCUUAGUUUCCAUCUUAAUUACCUCACAACAUUACCCUCCGAAGAUAGCUGGUAAACACUUCCAUGCUGCGAUAAUUUUUAUACACUAGUACUGCAACAAAUUCAUACAUGUUUCCGGUGUCUCAUGUAUACUGGUAUAUAUUUCAUUUCCUGAGCAGGGAAGGGAUGCUAAAAGUGCUUGAACCAUCCUAAUGUCAUAGGCAGUCAGUUCUGCAGUUAUCCAGGAGACAGUUUGCUAAGUCCUAUCCAAACUGGUUCAGAGGUACAAUGGGAAAGAGAAACUAAAUGUAAACAAAAACUUGGAGAGGCUAGAGAUGGCGCACAUCAAGUUGGAGGCUGUUUAACAAGUUUCAUUAGAUUCCUUAUGAAAUACAUUUUCAUAGCAUAAAAUAGUAUUAUAAAUAUAUAUACUCUUUAUUGUAAAUUUGGUUAAACUUAAAACAAUUUGACUUAGGAUAAACGACACUCUUUGCGGGAUGGAGGGAGUAGGUGUGAGGGCCACGGAGAAGAAGGACUUGCCUGAGUGGCUGGAGACGGCGAUGGAGACGUAGGUGAACUCGAAGUAUGCUUGACUUGGUCCCACCUCACAGGCCACAACCUGUUCUGUUUUGCAUCUCCUCUGCCUGCUGCUCUGCAUUGAGAGUAUCACCAACUAGAAACAGGGUAGGUGGUUAACCUGUCAGUUGUUGUGAUUAUGAUAGUAGGAUGGAUCUGUGAUCGAGCUAGCCUGUGAGAAGAAUUAAAGUAAAAAAAAUAUUAUCUCGUUAUGUGGCGCUACAAUCUGUAGAUGUGGGAUUAAAUCCAUCUAUAAGUUGGGUGACAUUAUGAUCUUGUCAGUGUAAUAUAAUCCAUCAUAUACAUAUACAGUCCCUUUUUUGUUCCAGAUUGUAGCUUCAUUCAUCAAGCAUGGUCCAUUUCAUCGACGGUAGUCCGUUGGACCGAAUUACAUGAUAGCAAAAAGAAAAAUGAAACAGUAGAUAAAUAUUUUUGAAUUGUGUUUCAAGCUUUCACUUUGGUUCCCUGACCGCCUGUCGCUGUUAGUUAUCAAACUAACCCAACUUUAACGCGAUCUGACGCACCUCUUCCACUUUCUUCCAUGUAAUGCAUGUUGGCCUAGUUUAUUCAAGCCUAGUUUGACUUAAAUCAGACUUCCUGAUUAAAAGAAUCCCCUUGAAGUGACCAAAUCCAUACAACCUCUAACUACCGAAGUUGUCUAACUUGGACAUCCCUAUCUUCUCCUUAAGUUAUCAUGUUGGCUCACAGUAUGAUUUGCCAUUAUUCAAUCAAAGGAAGGUUCCUGCAGCUGCUAAGCUAACUCUUUUCUUCUUGUUGACGCUUUUUCCGGUCAACACACGAAUGUGCUAGCUUGCGCGUGCACCAGUGAUCACCUCGUCGGCGCUUCUACACCUAGCCAGUCAGACCGGUCAGGGGGCCGGUCAGACCGGUCCUCGCAGGAACGCCACGAAAUCUCAGAAACACCACCUCGGGAGGGACCCCGUCAAAGAUGGCGCACCUAGGGUUGUCAUGAGAUCAGUCAGGCCACUCAGAACGUCCUCAAACACCGUCGAGAUGGAGGAAAGAAAGGGGUUGGAAAAGUUAGAGUUUGGAGAUAAAAGUGUAAAAGAUUUGUUUGACGAUUGGGUGUUAGCCCUCAAUCCUGAUUCCUCUCCAAUUCGACCGGGACUCUAGAUUUUGCCUCGGACUCGGGCUAACCGGUCCGACCGGUUGGGGCAACCGGUCAGACAGGUUGGCGCCCGCCAGAUCGGCUUUGAGCCUGAUCAGCGCCGCUGCCACUUUUGGGCAUCAACACAUGCCCCCCCUAUUUCUUGGUAAAGCUUGCCUAUCAAGAAAUAAGACUAAGGGCGAUGGAGUUCACCGGCCAUUUGCUCUAAGGACGAUAUUUCAAAAUAUCAGCCAUACCGCUUCUAUGCAUCUUGCCAAAUGCUUGGAUCAUACUUUUUCAAGUACUUCCCAUUCAGAGCUCUAGGUAGCUGAAAUCCACUUAAACUUUCUACCAUAUAGGAAUUUCCACGGAGUACACUUGUAAUCUUGUAUGGCCCUUCCCAACUUGGAGAUGAUUUUCCAAAUUUAUUGCUCUUGGCUCCUACAGGCAGGAUUGUUUUCCAAACCAGAUCUCCUACUUGGAAUGUUUUGGCCUUAACCUUCUUGUUGUAUGCUUUAGCCACACGAACCUUAUCCCUUUCAAUUCUAACAAAAGCCUCCAUCCACUUGUCGGUCAUUUCAUCAAUAUUAUCCAUCAUUAAAGCAUAAUAGGUAUCGAAAUCAAGAUCAUUUUGUUUAGCCAAUCUAUAUGCACCCAGAUUUACCUCAACGCGUAAAAUGGCUUCCUGACCAUAGACAAGCUCAAAAGGAGUAACUUUAGUUGCGCCAUGUCUAGAAAUAUGAUGAGCCCAUAAGGCUUCAGAUAAUACCUCAUGCCAUCUUUUAGGAUUGUGCUCUAUCUUCUUCUUGAUGAGCUUUAUCAAGAUCUUGUUGCUAGACUCGGCUUGACCAUUGGCUUGAGCAUAAUAAGGAGAUGAAUUGAGUAAUCUAAUGCCAUAAGACCCCACAAACUCUCGCACAUCUUUAGAUAUGAAUGAAGUUCCUUGAUCUGUAGUCAAAGUUUGCGGAAUACCAAAUCUGUGUAUAAUAUGCUCCUUAACAAACUCAAUCACCUCUCGAUGUGUCAUAUUCCUGAGGGGAAUUGCUUCAGUCCACUUGGUAAAAUAAUCAGUGGCCACAAUCACAAAACAAUGUCCCUUUGAUGAAGAAGGAUGAAUCUUACCAACAAAAUCUAAUCCCCAUCCUCUAAACGGACACAGCUUUAUUAUUGAAUGCAUUGAUGAAGCAGGUAUCAAUUGAACAUUCCCAAACUUCUAACACUCUUCACAACCUUUGUAGUAACGAAAGCAAUCGGCUAUCAUAUUAGGCCAAUAAAAUCAAGCUCGCUUAAGGAGCCACUUCAUUACACGAACCGAUUAAUGCGUACCACAAACUCCUUCAUGCACCUCUACCAUAGCUAAUCUAGCCUGAUCAAAAUCCAAGCACUUUAAAAGCAAUCCAUCAAUCGUCCGAUGAUACAAUUCACCAUCUACCAAAGUGAAUUUGAGUGCCCACCGUCGGACCUUUCUAUCAACUGAGCACUUAGGAUCCUAUAAAUAAUUAAUCAGAAGCGUCCUCCAGUCAUCCACUUCAUCCUUAGCAAAUUCUGGACGGCCCAUGGCUGAAGUGGGAUUUUCUCCAAACAGACAGGUCAGAUCGGCUGGCUAAGCGGUGAGACCGGUUGGACCGGUCAGACCAAUUUCGGAGGCCGGUCGGAUAGGUUCCUCCAGGACAUAACACUUGGCCUCGCAAAGCGUUGGCUUUCUUUCAUGAAAGUUCCUUUUCUGAACAUUAUAGCCAGAAGCUUGCUAUGACAGAGCGUUAGCCCUUGAAUUCUCCUCUCGUGGUACAUGAUAAAUAGUAAAUUCAUCCAUGCAAGAUAUGAUGUCUAGACAUUUAUCAAGAUAAGCAUAUAGGAAUCUAUCCAGACACUGGCAUACCUUGGAUACUUGCUGUACCACCCGUAAGGAAUCACCAUAAGCUUCAACAUGUUUCACCCCUGUCUCUCGUAAAAUUUCCAAAUCGAAUAGCAAAGCCUCAUAUUUAGUUUGAUUAUUGGUACACUUGUGAUCCAAUCGGCUAAGAAACUCAAAAACAACCCUGCUUGGUGAAAUAAGCACCACACCAACACCACAGCCACUUUUGCAAACCGAUCCAUCAAAGUGCAACUUCCAAUGGGUAACAAUGGUAUAACUGACAUCUAAAUCAAGUUGUUCAUCAAUUCUAUGCUCAACAAUAAAAUCGGCUACGACUUGCCCCUUCAUUGAUUUCAACGGUUCACAAACCACAUCAUAUUCAAUGAGAGCAUACGCCGAUUUGCCGAUUCUAUCACUUAAAAUAGGCUUCUGUAACAUGUAUUUAAUUAUGUCGGUCUGACAUGCCACUAUGCAAGUAUUUGAUAAUAAAUAAUGCCUCAACUUGGUACAAUAUGAUAUAAUGAUAAGCACAAUUUAUCAAUAAAAGUAUACCUUGUCUCGGCAUCCAACAAUUUUCUACUCACAUAGGUGACAACAUGCUCCUUCCCUUCGGUCUCAUGAGUCAAAACAGCCCCAAUAACACCCUCUUCGGUGGCUAUGUAUAAUCUAAAAGGAAUACCAUGCUUUUGGCACCUGAUGGACGGGCGGAGAAGAUGAAUAAUCCAUGAUUUCCUCAAAUGCUUCUGCUGUUUUGCCCCCCAAGUAAAAUCAGCUUCAUUCUUCAACCGAAGUAAAGGAGUAAACGCAUUCACCUUCCCAGACAAGUUGCAAAUAAAUCUCCUCAAGUAAUCCACUUUGUCCAAGAACUUCUGCAACUCUCUUUUGCAAGUAGGAGCUUGUAGUUUUUUAAUAGGCUCAAUCUUUUUAGGAUCAAUCUCAACACCUUUUUCAUGCACUACAAAGCCCAAGAACUUUCCAGCCGAUACACCAAAAGCACAUUUGAGCGGAUUCAUCUUUAAACCAUAUCGAUGCAUUUUCUCAAAUGCAAGUCUCAAAUCAGCCAAAUGGGACUCAGGCCGGCCGAUUUCACAACAAUGUCAUCGAUAUAUACUUCCAGCACUUCUCCGAGCAAAUCAUGAAAAAUUAAAUUCAUAGCCCUCUGAUAAGUAGCACCAGCAUUCUUUAACCCAAAGGUCAUAACAAUCCACUCAAACAAACCAACAAAUCCUGGACACACAAAUGCCGUUUUGGAUACAUCCUCUUCAGCCAUGAUAAUUUGAUUCUAUCCAGCAUUGCCAUCAAGGAAACUAAUCAUUUUAUGUCCAGAUGAAGCAUUAAUAAGUACAUCGGCUAUAGGCAUAGGAUAUUCAUCUUUUGGUGAAUCUCUAUUAAGGUCUCUGAAAUUGAUGCAUACCCUGAGCUUACCCGUGCCCUUCUUCUCAACAUGCACAAUAUUAGAAACCCAAUCAGCAUAUCGACAAGGCCUAAUACACUUAGCAUCAAGCAACUGAUUGAUUUCUUCCUUCACUCGGUCAUAAAUAUAGGAUUAAAACACCUAGAAAGUUGUUUAUGAGGCCUAAAACCGGGUUUGGUAGGCAGCCGAUGCUCAACUAGCUCGCAGCUUAAACUAGGCAUUUUAGUAUAAUUCCAUGCAAAAUAGUCGACAUACUCUUUUAACAACAUUAUCAAAUCAGUCUUGAAAAUAGGCUCAAGAUUCUUGUUUACAAACGUCGGCCUUGGUACAACACCAUCACCAAUAUCCACAUCCUCUAAAGGAUCGGCCAACGUAAACCCUUGUCCUAAUUUACUCAUGUCAUCAAUGUCCUCAAUGGCCUCACACAUAUCAUUCUUUUGUGCCCAAUAGUGCUGUAAUCUCUGCUGCAACCAUUCUAGAUUUACAUCCAUUAUAUCAUAUGUGGUAAGCUAGCUGAUCAUUAACCGGCUUUAGUACAACAGCGAUGAAACCAUCCUUUGUGCAACUAAAGUACCUACAAUCAGAAAGGUCUAUGCCAGAUAAGCACCUAACAUUAUCAUGAGCACUCAUGGCGGAACUAUCGGCUACAGCAACACAAGCCGAUGUAUCACCAUGCACAACCUCCACUUCAUCGCCAACCCAUUGGAUCAAGCAUUGAUGUAGUGUAGAAGGAACACAUUGGUUUGCAUGAAUCCAAUCAUGACCCAAAAUUAAGCUGAAGUUACCUUGGGUCUCAACGACGAAGAAAGCAGUAGGAAACGUCUUGCUCCCAAUAGUGAGCUCCAUGGAGAUGAUGCCUUUAGCUCCCAUAAGCUCGCCUCCUCCCACACCGCUGACAGUCAUGUUGGUCUUGAUUAGAUCCUCAUCUGAACCUCCCAAUUUCUUGAACAAAGAAUAGGGCAUUAAAUUGACAAAUGCCCCUCCAUCAACCAACAUUCGAGAAAUCGGAUUCCCAUUGAUGUGUCCUCGCAUGUAUAGAGCUUUCAGAUGAUUCUUAGCGGCUUUAGGCUUCUGGAAUAUAGCAUCCUUAGGCCCAAAGUCAAGGUGAGCCAAAUCCUCCUCCAAGAGUACAUAACCAUCCAUCGACAUAUGAAUCAUAUUUAUAUCCAGGGCUAUGCUCUUAGGUGAAGUACCGUAAUCAACAAGUUGUUCAUCAUCCUCUAUCUCAUGGACAGAUUCCAACUCAUUGCCGCAAACCAUAGGGGCAGAAAGAGCAAAACUGGGUGGCGUCUCUGGCUAGACUGGUCUGACUGGUUCCUCGGCUGGUCUAAUCGGCUCGGGCGCUGGCACAGAUGCCUCGACCGGUCUGACCGGUUCCUCAACCGGUCUGACCGGUGGAGCUGGGGCGUCAGCCUUUGCUCUCCACUUCUUCUUCUGAGGUGCUGCGGGUCUAUACUUUUUGAACGCCUCAUCCCUCUAUUUUUGUAGCUCUUGUUCCCUUUUUUCUUGCAGCCUCAACCUCUGCAACUUCCUUCUUUGUGUGCGAAUCAACCCAGGAGGACACCACCUGGGCAAGAAAUAUUUGGAGCUUGACCCGCUGCUGCUAGCCUCAUGAUCAUUGACUACGGGAACCCCCUACAUAGACGUCAUGGCUGGAUUGCUUGUGCUAAUUGGUCCUUUUGCAUUAGCAUCAACGGGAGCAUUCAUAGACCAAAUUUGAAUAAUAGCCUUCCCUUGGCCUUUUUCUGAGUCUACUUCCAUCUUCUGAAUCUCCUCCUCCCUCUUUUUAUUGCGAUACACUUGGUUCGGAGGAGGAAUCCAAGGUUCCCGGACAGACUGAUCUGACUGGUCAAAGUACACUGGUCUGACCGGUCGAGUCUGUGGAGCCUGAGCAGAUGAGCGAGGUGCCCAUCGGCCUUGCAUGGAGCACGAGAUUUGUCCAAAGCCGACUUUCUGGAACCUCCCUAUCAAGGAUGAAAAGAUGGCUACUGCACGGAUUGAUAGGGCACCCACAUUACCCCAUUGUCAUCCCACACUGGGUGUAGAGGAUUUGAUGCUAGAGGAGCCCUGGAUGUGGUGGGAUACUGCCUUAAUUUCACCUGGUCACCUCUCUAUCUCACAACCACUCUUGGUGGUGAGCCUUGUCUCCCCUAAUGAGUAGGCAACCUCAUUCUUUUAUUACCAGCUGAUUAUUGACGCCGGAUUUUGACACAUGUUAACGUCGGCGUCAAAAGAGAGGAAGGUGGCCGAUGCGGAAAAACAAGGGAGCUACACCUGAAGGAAUUGGCCAAUGGAGAUACAGUGUUUCGACCGAUUGACUGAGGGAGUCAAUGGAGGCUGGCCAAUUGGGAACCAGAGCAGCUUGGCCGAUGUGGGCCUAAAGUGGGCCAGGAUGGUGAUUAGCUGAAGAUGAAGAUUGGCCCGUAAGAAAAUAGUAACCGACUCCGAUGCGGGUUGCAUUCAUGUGUAAAUAUUUGUUAUCUUUAAAUUAGAGAUAAAUCCUAGUCGGUUAGGAAAUCAGUUGUAACAGGGUAUAAAUAGGUGCCUCGUAAGGUUUGUAAAACAACACAUGAAUCAAUAAUACAAAUCUACUUUUUCCACAUACUUUACUUUCAAGUCAGCGACUUCGCCAAAUCGUUUUCUUUUCACGAGUUCGUACGAGUUGGCAGGGCUGCAUCAACACGACCUCCGGCCAAUUUGUAAGUUCCGCGUAUCAAGAAAUAUCUAAGCUUUAACUUCGGGUGCAUCGUUGUGGUUUCGUUUAGAUUUAUUCACCGGUUAUCGAUAUUAACUAGAAUUAUAGGUUUUACAUAUUGUUUUAGUUUUAUAACAAGUUAUCCAGCUUGAGAUACGAUCUGUCGGCUUUUAUCAUUUUUUUUAUCUAUUUUCAUAUAGCCGAUUAGAUCUGUUCCAAGUGUUGCUUUUGUAGCAUUGUUUAGGUUGCUCUAGUGGUUUCUCUUACAGUUGCUACGUGAUCAUUGGCUAUUUUAUAGCCGGUUAUAUCUACAGUAAUUCGGCCGAUUCGCUGAUACGUCCUUCAAAACAGAUUGGAACUUUAGCCGAUCGAAGCCUUGGAAUUUAAUACUUUUCUUUCUUGUCAAUCAACAGGUCAGAUUGACUCGCACGCCGCGCGAACCGCACCAGGGUGAUAACUCGAACAGGAGCUAAGUAGAUUCUCCCAAGUCGUGUGUCCGACGGUGAGAGUCAUCAACCGAUUUUUAGCGUCAACACACUUUUGGCACGCCCAGUGGAACCAGAGUCAAGAUUCAACAUGUCGAAGGCUGCUGAGAUCUCGGAAGAUAACGUUAUUGAAGUCACUAAAGCAUAUCUCAAGGACGACUAGAGAGAUGAGGUGGAAAAGGCUAUGGAAUACUACAAGAAGGCAUGCCUACAAUCCUACAGUCGUAACAGAAGCGGGGAGACUGUCAAAAAGACUGCUCUUCCAACUCCUCGCCAGAUCACCAUCGCCAAAGACUCAAGAAAGAUGUCUGAGAUGAUCCAGCAGUCUGUUUAUCAGGCUAUGAUCGAUCAGUCCAAGGUGAUGACUCACACAGUGUACAACACCGUCAUCAGUUCCAUGGUCAAUGGUGUGGCUCAACGGUAUCAGGGACCAGCUUACGCCCCUCCCAUUGUCGCACCGGUCACAGGCUUCUCAGUGGCGCCAAAUAUGUCCCAGUCGGCUCCUUAGCCGAUGCAGAUGCAGAGUGGGGGAUACAGCACCACAAUACCCCAAGGAUAUAACGAUGCAAUGCCCUAUCUAUCACAAGCACCGUUUUACCGUGCACCAGUUUCCCCCAUGCAACCGCCAUCUGCAACCUCGGCGCCGUGGGGAACGGUGGGAAUACCUGCCGAUCUGGAUCCAUCCACUAGUUACAAAAAAUCUCUGGUGCAGGUGUCGUUUCCAUCGGCCUCUCAGCCGACAAUCCCGCAGUACCAGCAAACUACCCCGAAAAUCGGCCAGGGGGCAAGCGCUCUAGAUCCCCUCAGAACUGCGGCGCCAAUAGUAUUGUACGAUGAGGUGGCAGAUGCACUACGUCAUGUUGACCCCAUACGACAGCAGCUGUCGGCUCCUCAGCUGACAGUCCAGCCGCAAGAUCUGCAGCAUGUGCCAGCCUAUCACCCAAUCGCGGUGCCGCAAGUUCAACAGCACGUGCCGAUUCCUCAGCCGGUUGUACAUCAGCAACAACUGCAUCAACAGCAAGUGGACUGGACCACAAGAAUAACUGAUAUAAUACAGGAUCAGUUUGGAUUAAAGCCAAGAGUGCAGACUUAUACGUAUAGGACGUCGUACCCACCCGCUUACGAUGUGUUGCCGUUCCCUCAUCGGUACAAAGUGCCCGACUUCACCAAGUUCUCGGCCCAAGAUGACAUGUCCACAGUAGAGCACGUUAACAGAUUCAUCAUCCACACAAUUCCAUCAGCUGAGUAGCUCAAGCAGAUGAAGUAUUGCAAGUGGCACAAUGCCACGUCUCACGACACCAAUGAGUGCAAAGUCUUUCGUCAACAGAUACAGUCGGCUAUUGAGCAAGGAAGACUUAAAUUCGAGGUCCCCAUAAAGCCAGCAAAGUCGAUGAAGAUCGAAUAGCACCCCUUCCUUGCCAACAUGGUCAACACCAGAAGGAAUGCGCUCCAGACCAAAGUGCUGACAUUAGAAUCGGCCCAGAAGAAGCGGCGCGGUGGACCCCAGAAACCAAACCUCGGCCGAAGAUGUUAAAGGAAAAGGCCAGAUGGAAACUAAAGGAGAAAGCUCGGAGAGGCCACGUCGGCCCGUCACAUCCCGGGACCUGCUCAACAAGUACUAGAGGCAGCGGGAGGACACAAGGCGCCGGGAAGAAAUGAUGUGCCAACACGAAGAUCACUGGAGAUGUCCAUUCUUCAUUCACUGUUGGAAAAAUGACCUCAGACUACCGUCGGCCGAUAACUGCCCUGAACGCAACGGUCAGUAUCGCAGCAGCCGCCCGUUCAACAUUUCACACUCCGAGGAUCGAGGACAAGAGCCGAUCAGCAGAAACAGGCUCGAGCAAGAGGAUUGGCGCGUUUCAGUGCAUGAUCGGCUAAGGGGCAGAGUAGACCAGUGUAAUCGGCUGGGGGGCAGGGCCAGUGCACAUUAUCGGCUGGGAGAAAUGGGAACGUGCUAAGACGAAGACCCUCUAGGGUUGGAGCUAGACUGGGAAUGCGCUAAGCCGCCAAACAAACCAGUGAACCCUAGAUGGUGCCCAGAUGGUCUGACUAAGUCCCAAAAAAGGAGAGUCCAACGUUUGCGCCAGUGGGAGCAGCAAGAGAAGGAACAAAGGCAAGCAGUGGACAAGAGAGGAGUCAAAUCUCAAGUUUGGCACCCCAGAAGAAAAGCUGAUAGAGAAAACGAUGACCACGACUCGGCCGCCGAUGUCGACAUGGUGUUCAUCUUGCCGAUGGAAUUUAUGGCUCCUGUUGACCGCGACAGGUCAACAGAAAUAGAGGAGUAGAUGGCACAACUGGCUCUGGAGCUAAUGACUCCUACUUUUGAAAAACCCAAGGAUGAAAAAUGCUAGCAUCUCAAGGCUCUGUUCCUCAAAGGGCAAGUCAACGGACGACUGGUCGCUAAGCUGUUGGUAAAUGGAGGUGCUGCCAUGAACAUCAUGCCGUAUGUUAUGUUCCGCAAACUGGGCAAAGGAGAAGAAGAUUUAAUCAAGACGGAUAUGAUGCUCAAGGAUUUCGAAGGCAACAUAUCUUCGGCCCGGGGGGCACUCUGCGUCAACCUCACCAUCGGCAGUAAGACCCUACCCACCACUUUCUUUGUUAUUAAUGGUAAAGGGUCCUCUAAUAUGUUGCUCGGGCGAGAUUGGAUCCACGCAAACUGCUGCAUCUAGUGGAUCGGUGACACCAUUGAAGUAGUCACCGCCGACUCCGCCUACAGUGUUGCCGCAGUCGACGCGCAACAAUGGAGCUAUGAGCAUGUUAGGUGCAUAGCUGGAAGGACUUGGGACACUGAUUUCUUGAAGGUGUUUGAUUUCGGUCUACAGCUGAUCCAAGAAGUCAGCUCGGAAAUAUAAGAUUAAAUGGAUCAGUUCGUUCGAGAAGACGGAAAACUUUGGCACGAGUUUACGUCAGUUGAUUCUUUGGAGAUAGUGGACCUUGGAGAUGGUAGCAACCCAAGGCCGAUGUAUAUCAGUGCUAGGUUAGACCUCGAGUACAAGCCAAAUUUGUUAAGAGAGUUUAAAGAUUGUUUUCCUUGGGAGUAUCAUGAAAUGCCUGGUCUAGACCAGUCCAUUGUCGAACACCGGUUGCCUAUAAAACUAAGGUAUCGGCCGUAUCAGCAGCCUGCACGAUGUUGUAAUCCUAAAAUUCUACCUGAUAUAAAGGCCGAAAUCACAAGAUUGAUUGAAGUAGGAUUUAUUCGGCAGUGUCGAUAUGCCGAGUGGAUUUCUAAUAUUGUUCUUGUAUACAAGAAGAAUGGAAAGUUACGUGUUUGCAUUGACUUUAGAAACCUUAACCAAGCUACACCGAUGGACGAAUACCCGAUGCUGACGGCUGAUGUUUUGAUAGACGCGGCCGCAGGACACAAAGUAAUCAACUUUAUGGAUGGUAAUGCCGGGGAUAAUCAAAUACUAAUGGCCGAAGAAGGUAUCUCAAAAAGGACCUUUAGGUUCCCUGGUCAUCUCAGCUUGUUCGAAUGGGUAGUCAUGACAUUCGGUUUGAAGAACGCCGGAGCUACAUAUCAAUGGGCCAUGAAUUAUAUAUUCCAUAAGCUUAUUGGUGUCCUGGUGGAGAUUUACAUUGAUGAUGUCGUCAUCAAGUCAAAGGGGCAUCAAUAGCAUGGCCGAUUUGCGCAAGGUAUUGAAGUGCACAAGGAAGCAUGGGUUGAAAAUGAAUCCUAACAAGUGUACUUUUGGCAUUUCGGCUGACCAAUUUCUGGGCUUCAUGAUCCACGAGCGAGGCAUCGAGAUCAAUUAGAAGAUUAUAGCCGCCAUCAACAAGGUUGUGGCCCCACAAGACAAGACUGCGCUACUAAUCGGCAAGGUCAACUUCAUCCGGUGAUUCAUAUCGAACUUGUCUGGGCGCAUUCAAGCUUUCACCCCGUUGUUGAAAUUAAAACCCAACAAAGAGUUUGUCUAGGGCGAAGAACAGCAGAAAGCAUUAGAUGACAUCAAAUAGUACCUGGUCUCCCCGCCGGUGUUGGUCCCUCUGCAGGCUAAUAAGUGUAUAUAUCGGCCGAUGAGCGAGCUAUCGGCUCGGCGCUGGUCCAAGAGUUCGAGGGGAAAGAAAGAGUAAUUUAUUACGUCAGCAGAAGACUUUUGGACGUUGAAACCAGAUGCCAUCUGGUGGAACAGCUGUGCCUUUGCCUAUAUUUUUCUUGUACCAAACUCAGGCACUACCUGUUAUCGGCAGAGUGCGUAGUCAUAUGCAAAGAUGAUGUCAUCAAGUAUAUGUUAUCACUGCUGAUUUUGAAAGGGAGAAUUGGAAAGUGGAUUCUGGCCCUCUCAGAAUUCGACCUGAGGUACGAAUCGGCCAAGGCUAUCAAAAGUCAAGUAAUGGCCGACCUCGUAGCCCAGCACUAUGGACCAGAGAUUACUGUUGUCGAGCCAGCUCCAUGGACUUUAUUCUUUGAUGGAUCCUCGUGUGGAGUCGGAUCAGGAAUCGGCAUCAUCCUCAUAUUGCCUCGGGGGGCAAGUUAUACUUUCUCUCUACCGAUUGAGGCGUCCGCCACUUAUAAUCAUGCGGAGUAUUGGGCUGUCUUAAAGGGCAUCCAACUGUUGAGGGAUAUCAAAGCCGACGCGGUGGAAAUAUUUGGGGAUUCCAUGCUUAUAGUGGAUCAGUUAACUGGGAAAUGUGAGUGCAAGGAUGAUAUUCUAAGAAUUUAUUAUGAAGAAUGCCUCCAGUUACUGAAAGAGUUAAAGACCGCACUUAUUGAACAUAUGCCUAGGGAUUACAACGAGGAAGCUAAUAGGCUAGCUCAGCAUGCUUCUAGUUAACGGCCGAUUCAAGGCGCUAUGGCUCUGGAGCUUGCGGUUGAUGACUGGAGGAGAGAAAUCGCCGAUUAUCUGAAAGAUCCGUCCAAGAAGGUCGAUCGGCAAAUACGCUUUCAGGCUACAAAAUACGUAGUGUUUGAAGAUGAUUUGUUUUACCAGACGAUUGAUGGGGUGCUACUUAAAUGCCUUGGAGUGGAGGAAGCAAAAACUCUGAUGGGAGAAAUUCAUGAGGGUGUAUGUGGGACCCAUCAAUUGGCCUAAAAGAUGAAGUGGAUGAUUAGAAACAAUGGGUAUUACUAGCCGACGAUACUCGAAGAUUGUUUUAAAUAUUAUAAAGGGUGUUAGGAUUGUCAGAAAUUCGGCAACGUGUAACGAGCACCAGCCUCGGCUAUGAACCCAAUAAUAAAGCUGUGGACAUUUAGAGGUUGGGGAAUUGACCUCAUCAGACAGAUUUAUCCACCUUCGAGUAAAGGGCAUAAGUUCAUAUUGGGGGCUACUGAUUAUUUCACCAAGUGGGUGGGAGACAGUUCCUUUAAAAAUCAUGACGUCGGCCAACAUGAUUGAAUUUGUGAAGGAGCAUAUUAUCUAUCGGUUUGGUAUUCCCCAGACUAUUACGACUGAUCAGGGAUCGAUGUUUACCUCAGGAGAGUUUGGGGACUUCACUGCCGACAUGGGAAUUAAGUUGUUAAAUUCUUCUUCAUAUUAUGCUCAGGCCAAUGGUCAGGCUGAAUCGUCCAACAAGGGGGUGAUUAAAUUGAUUAAAAGAAAGAUCGAAGAAUAACCAAGGCGGUGGCAUACGAUGCUGAAUGAGUCCUUGUGGGCUUACAGGAUGGCCUGCCACGGAGCCACCAAGUUGUCCCCUUACCAAUUAGUAUACGGGCAUGAAGCAGUUUUGCCUUGGGAGUUGAAGACUGGGUCUAGGCGUUCGGUUCUUCAAGAUCAGUUGUCAGCCGAUGACUAUUCCACUCUCAUGAAAGCGGAGUUGGAGGAUUUGGCAAGUCAGCGGUUGAGGCCCCUGAUUAGUAUCGAAGAGAAUAAGAAAAGAGUUGCCAAAUGGUAUGACAAGAAGGUUAAGGUCAAGCAGUUUUCCCAAGGAGACUUGGUCUGGAAGCUGGUUCUGCCGAUAGGAUCCAAAGAUCCCAAAUAUGGAAAGUGGUCACCUACUUUGGAAGGGCCUUACCGGAUUAGUCAGUGUGCUCCAGGCAAUGCGUACAUGCUGGAGACCAUUGAGGGAGAAGAAUUUACAAGGGCUCUAAAUCGAAGAUAUUUAAAAAGAUACUAUCCCAGCAUAUGGGUAGACACUUAGCCGAUAAUAUGGUAUAUCGGGUUCCCAUGGCCGAUACCUAUUGACUUGCGUUCAUACAGCCGAUGUGGAGGGCAUCCCCUCGAGGAUGAAAGAGGCAAGGGAGUGUUCAUACAAAUUAGCUGAUUACUAGUCGGAACAUGGCCGACAUGGCAAAAGUUGCCCUUAGAAUAAAAUACCAACACACUCAUUGAGUUACAAUACUUCCACGAUGUUUCAGCUGGGCUUUACUCGUGUUGAUCUCUCUCUGAAUUCAGCCCAGUUCGAUCAGAAGGCGGGUGCUUUUCUCCUCCAGAUCCACCAUGUCAUCCUCGAGGGCUAUCUGAUGGGGCAGUUGAUGACUUGUUUCGGCUGGUGGCUGAGUUGGCCUUCUAGAGCCGUUGGCUUCAAUGUGGUCUGCAAUUCUUUUGACAUGCACAGAAAGGUGAUCCUUGAGUUCCUCACGAUGAGCUUGGAUCAAAAGCUUCAUCUGCUUGGGUCAGUGGUUCGUCGGAGUACAUAAUCUCGAUGGCUCGUUCGAGAUCGGGGCUAAGCCGGUUCGGCUGAAAGAAUAAUAGGCAAACUGAUUAACAGAAAGGACUAGUCAAAUAGUAAAAGAGUUGACUUCGUACCUAAUUGACGGAGGAGGAAGAAGCCAUCUUGGUGCCUGAUUGGAGAUCUGGAAGCGUCUAGCAGAGGAAGAGUGUAUGGGUGUUAUGCAGGAUGCGAAGGCUUGUAUUUAUAGGACGAGGGGACGACAGGCAACGGUUAGUAGAAGAAGGCAUUCAAAGCAAACGACCGUUGAGUUAAAAAGCUACGAGAAAGCCGUUUGGAUUCACAUUCAAGAAAGAAAUGUUGAAAAGUGUCGAUGCUAUACAGGGCAUUCAAAAUGUCGUUCAAGUUCAGCACGGUACACUCAAAAGGUCAUUUAAGUUCAAAUACAGUUAUCCAAGGAGGGUAUUUAUGGCCUCAAUCGCCCGCAGGCAGAUCUGAUCUGCUGAGUCUAGUACUCGUUGUUCCUCAUCGACCGAUCUGGGAACUUCUGGCAUAUUGCGGUGAAGUCGGAUGGCCUCGUGAGCAAGGGUCUGCCUUUCUUGUUUUAAAUCAGCGAUGACGGCUGAGAGGUCUUGGAGUUGCUUCUCCUCAGCAGUGAUGGCCUUCACAACUUGCUCCAUCUCUUUGGCAAGUUCUGCCCUACGCCAUUUAAGUCGAUCUAUGGUGCUGACAAUGCUUGGACAGAAAUUUUCAAGGGCGCCGAUCCGGUAGUGUACCACUUGGGAUUGGUGUUUAUAAGAUUCCUCUUCUUCGCGUGCCUUUUCUAGUUUGGCACGAUCGGCCAUAUGUCACAAAGCUCUGAAAACUGGGAUCUACAUCAAUUCAAUGUAUGCCGCGGGUGCAAGACCUUCUUCCACAUCUUCUAGGACUCGGCCUUUGAUUUCAUUGAAUAUUCGUCGAAUUGGAGAGGAAUCUUCCACCAAUCGGCCGAUAUCGUCCAGAAGAAGGGCUUGUAUGUUCUGGAGCUUGGCGCGGACCUCUUCUGGUAUUGAGCCCAAAGCUAUCUAGCGUGAAGCAACCUCCUCGUCAUCAGAGACUAUGACCGUAAAGGAGAAAAGGCUAUUGUUGGGCGUGUCUUGUUCCUGUGAGAAAUAAAGGGAAAAAGUGCUUUAGCCGACAGGAGUAAAAAAUCGGCUGGUAGAGGUAAAGGGUCCUUACUUCUUUGAAACGGAUUUCCUCUACUUGGGUUGGCAGGAUUGCUGCUCCCGCUUCAGGAAUCAGUGCUGGCAAUUCACCAGAAGAGGAGGAUUCAACAAUGAUCAGCGCGGUACUUGGACCAGCGUCCUGGAGAAUGGGAGGAGAAGUGUUUGUGAGUAUGAAAGAAUAAUUGGAUCUGGGAACGGGUCUUAGUUAUCUUACCUCUGAGAACCGCACGGCCGAUGGUUGCUUGAAGGGUAUGAUCAAUGUGUCCGAGAUAUCCUGCGCUUAAAAUCAGUCAGUUUUAGUGAAAGAUUGGGGAGAUCAAGUGAAAAUCACAUUCUUUACCUCAAUUGGAAAGCUUGCUGGUGGUACAAUCUCUGCUCGAGGAUCGGCCAAUUGAUGAGCGGUUUGCUCUGGAAGGAGUUGUGCAACCUGAUAAGAGGAGGUGUUUUAAUGUUGACAAUAUAUUUAGAAGUGUUAGGAGCAUGUGAGAUUACCUGUAGAGCUUCUACAAGCAGAGAUGCAGCCGUCGAUCUAGCUUUUGAAACCACUUGGGGGUCAAUCUCCUGAAUUGUCGGCAGAACUUCUGAUGGGGCUGGUACGGCUGAGGGCUCGGCCGAUGGCGUCGCCGAUUGAUCGGUCGUCAGAGUUACUGCUGAUUCAGUACAGGCUCGUACUCAACGGCUUGUUUUCUUUGAAGAGGACAUCUUCAGCUUGUGCUUCAAUCGGCCAAUAGCUAUGUCCUCCAUCAAUGGGGCAUGAUAGCCGAUGAGCGGGUAUGGUGUGUACGGAUGACGGUUCUCUAUCGGCAUACCACUUCGGCUGUGUGUUGGAGGUGCCUGGCUAUCGGACUACGCAAAGAGGGAGAGGCUGUAAUGAGAACUUUGUGACAUAAGGAGAUGAAAAAAAGAAAUCAGCCAAGAAGAUUUUGUUACCUCUGCGUUUGUGUCGAUAUGAGCAAGGUCCAACUGGUUGCAAUAUACUGCAGGGGAUGCACAAAAAAGAUGUUGCUUCCACUUGACCCACCAUAGUUUAAAUUGUUGAGUGUAGAAGGGUGCUACCAGCCAAUUGUUCAAGUCAAUGGUGCUGGAGUCUGGUAUCAAGUUGCACAGCCGAUUAUAUUCAAACCCUCUUGAAAGCGGCUCACGGAACUACACUCGGCCGAUGAAGUGAACUCCAAUGGGAACUACACUAAUUGUCGGGCUGCCACCGACGGAUUGUAGAAUUCAUACGUCGUAGAGUUCUUUCCAGAGAAGAAGUUUGCUGGCAAGAUCCCGGGCUUAAUCAAGAGGUCCAUAAUCCUGUCUUCAAAAGAAUUAGUGUCCAAGUCAAAGCAAUCAGGAUUCUCAAAAAGUGGCUCUUCUCUCUGGUACGGGUACCAGCUCAUGGUUUCUUCACUAAAGCCGAUAUAGAAGCAUCUGAAAUAUUCGGCUGUUCUUGAGGGAGUAAAAUUGCUGCCAAGGAAAGAUGAUACAGCUUCGCCGAAAGAGGUGCAACAACGUCGUGUCGAUGGGUCAUCCUCUGAUUCAAUAUUGGGGAAGGUCUUGGCUUUGACCCGUUCUCUGGAGAUUUUGCUCAUGUAGAAGUUAAGCCAAAGGGUGAUAAACCACCAAGGACCACCAGGAUUCCCAAUAGGCUCUCUAGAUGAUAGCUUCACGGUGAUUUGGUGCAUCAUAUAAUAAACCGACCCCAGCAAAUGUUUUCCCAAAGGGAUAGUAGCACCUCUUGCUAGUGCUUCGGCCAGGUCUUGCGUGUUGGAGGUGGGACCAACCGAUCUGCCACAGAAUAAGUGCUUUUCUAGCCACAUCAUCAAGAAGGUCAUAUACUCUUUCAAUAACGGGUCCGGUCUUCAUGUUCUUUUCGACAAAAUCUUUCCAUCCGCCGAUGCCCUUUGUUUCCAAACGGUGAGUGGGCUUGAUUAGAAGGUCGAAGGGUGUAACACCCAGUGUUAUUAAAGGCCUAAGAAGGUGAUUUAGAGGUUAAUGAUGAAUUUGGAUGCAAUAGAGGUAUUAUGGACCAAAGUCAAAUUUGGGUCAAAUUUGACCAAAGAUUCGAAUUCAAGUUUCAUUAUUUAAAAAUUUCAAAGGACUCCUACAACCAAGAGUUGGGCGACAACUUGAGAAAUAGAAUCUUUAAUCUAUGGUUAACCAUUGCAGAAGUUCUUAGCCCAAGAAACACGAAUUUAAAUUCCCAAAUUAGAACUCAAAGAGGGAACAAGUGAUUAUCGAGCUAUCUGUCGAGAACUGUAUGGCAGAGCACCCGGGGUGUUAAAAACACUCAAGAAUGGCCAAGAACAGGAUAUGACAAAGAUUUGGGGGUUAAUGAGCUUUUAUGGCCAAAGUCAACUUUUGGUCAAAGUUUAGUCAAAACGCCAAAUUGAGGUUCAAAUUUAGAAAAAGAUGACAAAUGCGCAGAUUUGGACUUUAUGGACCAUUGGAACUUAAAGAGACCAUUUGAGAAGCAAAUGGACCUUAAAUUGUCCAAAAAUCAAAAUGGAGGAUGCUCCUGUUCACUAACUGAAAAUAGGAAUGAUUGCCUUUGGAAAACAGUUCUAAAAGAAAUGAAUUUUGAUUCAAGAGAUUUUGAAAAAAAUCCUAUGUGGACUUUUGGUUUUAUGGGCAAAUUGGAACUUUUAUAUUAAGCUUAGCAUGAUCUCCAAGUUUGGCAUGAAAUAAUUGGCAUUUGAAGUGUUAAGUGGAAAUUCAAGAUUUAAUUGGAGAAGGGGGUGCUGUUCUGUUAAGAAGUACAGACAGUCAGUGCAAAUUCAGUUUAGUGAAAAGCAAGAAAUGGCAGUUAGCUUCAGAGCUAGAUUUGGAAGAGAAAAAGAAGGAUUUGACUUUUGAAAUGAAUAAGAUAAAUGUAGAGAAAUAGGUUAUCUACAACUUCUAUAAAGGAAGUUUUGAGAGUUUAAGUGAAAAAAAAUGGAGUAAACACAACCUGAACCUUCAGCUCAGAAAAAUUGACAGUUCUGUCAAUACUGGAGGAAUGAACAAUAACAGUCAGUUUUGGAAGUAAAUUUCGAACCCUUAGAGUCAAAAUCAGCAGAAACUCCAAAUGUAUCAAAGAUAGUCACAAAUAUUUCCUACAACUUUGUUUAAGGGCUCUGAGCAAGACUCUAUUGAAUUUUAGCCACGAAAAUCGACCUGAAGAAAAUCUGUCAAAAGGCUUAGCUGUUAAAAAGGGAAAAGUAGCAGUUAGGUUCAGAAGGAAAUUCCCCUCGAUUGGUUGGGAAUCUGAAGAAAGUGUAAUAAGAUGAAUUGAAAUUCAGCAAAUUUGCUACAACUUUUAUAAAGGGACUUUUAAAAGAGCAGUUUGGAUUUUUGUCGUAACUGGCUGUUGAAGUUUCUGACAGCAAGGUUCAAAAGGAGAAAAUUUAGUUAAGCUGAAGUUCAAUGUCCAGAAAAGUUCAGAGACGUUUUACAUGAGGAAGGAGCGAGAUUCAACCAAAAGUACAAAUCUAUGAAAGAUAGAACUUUGGAUUUCCUCCAACUUUGAUAUAGGGAGUUUUGGAUGUGUUGUUGGCAUGGAAGGUUCAAAUUUAAAAUGAAGUCCACAAAUGGCAGGUUGAGCUGAUUUCAGCUGAGAAGUCGUGAGAAAUUUCUAAGUCUGAAAAACAGCAUCGAUUAGCAAUCUUUGGUGCAAGUUUUUGAAAAAUGUAGUGUGUAAGAGAUGGGUUCUUAUGUGCAAAAUGGAACUUUUGUUGUAUGUUGAACUAAGAUCAGUGGAAGUUGGGCAAGAUAAAGUGAGUUUGGGUAGUUAAAAUGGAACCCAAAGUGGAGCAAAUGGCUGCUGAGAGGUCUGACGAAACUGAAUCGUUCUGGUUCAGUUACAGAGAGUUUUCGGCCGGACUUUGAGUUUCGAAAUAUUGGUGCUAGAGUGCUCGCCUCAGUUAAUGGUCAAUCUAACAAUUGAAGUACUCAGUUUACACUACAAGAUUGUUUAAAGGAGCGUCGCGAAUCGCAAUAAAAAUUUGGGAAGCUUUUAACCUCUGAACCUUGGAAGAUUUGAGUACAAGCAAGUGUUAAUAGAAUAGAGGAAACAGAGAACGUGCGUCGCCAUUCAUCCUCGCAUGCCGGCCAGCACGAUGAGCUGAGCCACGUCCAGUACGCCGGCGAGCUGAGGUGGCAGCCAUGCGUGGUGAGAAGCUUCAAAAAAAGUACUGCUCCUGCCCUUGCUCUUAUCCGUUUUUUUUUUUAUGUCACCAUUCUUUUCUUCUCCCGGCCAAGAGCAGAACACAGCUAGCGCCAGCUCCCUCUGAUUUUUCUUUCUUGCACCGCAGCACCUGCUCUCUUUGCCCUCUCCUUCUUCCAGCGCAAGCUUGAGCCAUCCCUGUCUCCUUUUUCCUCCAGCGCAGGAAGCAAAGCAGCGCAGCAAACAGCACAGCAACAGAGCAGCUCCUGGCCUCCGGUCCGCUCGAUCCGCUGGCCUGCACCACCGCCUGCGCGCCUUGGCUCGCCGCCCCACAUGCACCAUCUCCACCAGCGCCUGGCCACCCGUGCUUGCCCUGCUUCUGGCCUCCACUGCGUCUACGCGCCCAUCGCCGCCGUACCCCUUUCCUCCUUGUUCUGUUCUUCUCCCCACCGAGCAAACAAGCAAGCUGCAAGGAGUAACUUUGCUCUCUCCCUCUCUCUCCAGUAGCUCAAGCACGCUGCCCCUUUUCUCCGUUUCCUGCUUUGCACGAACAAGCACCACCAGCUACGCACACCACCAUGCUGAGCUCCUGUCUAUUUCCUUUCUACGAAGCAAGAUAGAGCAACAGCUCCCAUUUUUUUUUUCCCCCUCUUCUUUGCCUUCCACCCCGUCCACAACCUGUUCGAUAAAAUGCCGCUCAGAGGGUUCGCGCAAGAUGUUGUCUCUUAUGCUGCACUGGUUGAAGGACUAUGUGAGACAGGGAGGAUUGAUGAGGCACUGGAGUUGUUCAGGGAGAUGAAGCGGCCAAACAUGCACACAUACGUGGCCUUGGUGAGGGGGUUGUGUGAUGCUAGAAGAGGGAAGGAGGGGCUCUGUAUGCUGCAGAAGAUGAAGAAGCUAGGAUGGAGUCCAAGCACUCGUGCUUAUGUAGCACUGAGAAAAUGAUGGAAGGAGAUGGUUUAGCUGCUGAUCAGUAUACUUGCAAUGUGCUAGAAGAUGCUUUGGUUGCGGGUGAGUGAGAAAGGUUUUUCCGGGGGUUUCGGAUAAUUAUAGGUUUUUCUUUUGCAGAUAAAUAGUUUAAAUUCGUUUAUCACUAUUUAAUUCAUUAGAAAUUAUAGAUUUGACCCAAAAAUAGUGAAACCAAUUUUAUUAGGAAUGUUUUAUCUUCCUUUAUGCAUUAAAAAUUCUUACACCCUAGGAAAAAGGUAAUAAAAAUUAGGUAUUUAUUUAGUACCUUUGGUUAAGGUAUUUAAAUAAAUACUUAGUCUUUAUAAAAUGGAUAAAAUAUUGAAUAAUGUUUUAUUAUUCACAAAUUCUUAGUAAUCCAUAGGAAUUAGGUUUUGGAGAUUAGAAUUUAUUUAUAAUGCUUUUCUAAAUAAAAGAAAAGGCUUAAGUAGGUUAGUAAGGAAAUUAAAAAUUGUGGGUUAAUCUUUAUGGGUAGUUUAGUGUUGGCUUGCAACUUUAUCAUGAAGAUAGGUUGUAUAGUCACUUGUUGGCUUGCAACUUUAUCAUGAAGAAAAGUUGUAUAGUCAUGUGUUCAAAAGUUUGCAUCUCUAACUCCUGCAUGUACUAAAUCGUAGACGUUGAAGCUCCUGAAGUGGAAUUCGUGGAAUUCAGCUGAGGAUGGGCAGCGUCCGCGAAAGGUUGAAGUGCCUCUUUUACCAAAGGGGUUUUCCGAAGAACUAACAUUUGUUGAUCCCAGGCAAGCCCCGGUGCAUUUAUACCUAUCUAUUUUGGAGUCGUUAUUUCAUGUGACUAGUUAUAGGUUAUUUGUUUAUUGUAUGCACUAAGUCUAGGAGUUGAAUGAAACCUAUUCUUGUGUAUGAUCAUGCCUUGAUUUAAGGACAUCUUUGCCACUUGUUCAAAUCCUAGAAACUACCCAAGUCUAGAAUUGCUUACUUGCUUACUUGAUUGGUUUACCAACCUUAAGGAAAACUCUUAAGUCAUACAUGUUGCUUAUGAAGGAUAGUCUGGAAUAUGAAUACGGACAGAAGCUAGAGAUGUAGUUCUGUUCUGCUAGAUUAAUCUAGUUAAGGCCCGAUUCGUGUCUUAACCGCUGAUCAAGUGAUAAACAUCUGAUCACUUACUGGGUAUGGGACCAGUAAAGCCCAGUAGAUUAGUAAAUUCUAUGAUCAGGAAUGCUUCGUACCCGCAUUUGACGUGCUGGAGAUUGGCAGGGGUGUAGCCUGAAACUCACAUGGAGAUCAGGCCAGACGUGGGGUCCCAUGUGGGGGUGCAUCCCUGGGUCCGGGUAGUUGUAUUCCUAAUCAUUGACUUUGCUAAUCGAGAGGUUGUGAGAUACGACCGGAACAGUCGUAUAAUGCUGGUGAUCGGGUUGUUCUCCUGCAGGAUGUAAAUUGAUCCGGAUCGCCGCAAUUCUCGGUUAUGAAUGCACUUGAUCACUGUUGAGCAUCGUAGUAUCAACUCAUGCAAUAUAAAAUCUCCUGUUGUCAAGUAAUGUAUGACUUAACAGCUGUGGUUGUUUUUUUUUUACUUCUGCUAUCAUUUAGAAUGAUUAGGUAAUAACUUAACCCAAAUAAAAGAUAAAACUAAGGUAUCACUUGUAGUAAGCUUUUCGGCAAAAAUUGCAUUAGCCAAGUACACCAAAAAGCUAAGCAUACUCUUCCAAAGAAAGUUAUUAUAUUGGUUAGUCGGGUAAGACUUGCUGAGUACUUCGUACUCAGGGGAUCCCUUGUUGUUUUCAGAAAGCCAGCAGGGACCCACCGAAGAGGAAGCCCGAAGACCUAGGGUAUCGUAUGAGUCUCAUGAUACCCCAGAAUAAAACUUAGAUGUUUAUCUUUCUUCCGAACUGGUUUAUGUUUUAAAUUCUUAGAAACACGCUAACCUGCACUAUUAAGUUUGUUUCAAACUAUGGUUGUAAUAUAUCGUACCUUUGAUAUGUCUUUAAAAAUGUAAUAUUUGUUGAUGUUAUCCCAUCGCGGAUAUUAUCCUGAUGUAUGGCUAUGAAACACAUCGUGGAUCCUUCGAGGAGUCCUAGAGACACUCGACGGACUACCGGACUUAUGCUGUUUUACGUGCGUUUCGAAUAAUUGCUAUUCCGACAGCGAUUAGGCGCACUUAAACCAGCUUAAGUUGGACGGUUCCGCCAAAAAGGGCGUAUCGAGACGUCAAGACCAGUCAACAUCAGGACAUCGGCCAGAUUGGGAGUCAUGGGUCCGUGGCUGAAAAGGAACGCGUUGAGGGCGUCAGACCAGAAGUAAGACGUCGCAAUGACUAGGGAGUCGUUCCUCUCCAUAUGAGACAGGGACAAAUUUAUACAGUGGCCAAUUUUUCCCUCAUCCCAGUUAUCCAGAUCCAUAGUUGAUUGCUUGAACGGGAUUCUGUGAGUUUCCAGAUUAAUCAGCUCGGUUGGAUCAGGGUUCCCCAUGGGGCUGAGUCCGAUGAGGCCUAGUGCGUCAGAUAUCGGGAUGGUGAUUCUUUGCCUAAGUUCCUGAGAAGAUAUGAGGAAAAACUAAGUACAGAUCUAAAAUUCGUGAAAUGGUGAAAAGUAAAAAGGGGAGAGUUUUGGGGAAUUUACCUCCAGGAUGAAAGUCAUGGUGGCUGAAGGAAUCGCCAUUGGAGUUUGAGGGGAUAGCACGAUUGAUCAAAGGAUGAGAGGGGGUCAUCGGAGGGCGCUAGAAUGCACCUGGAAGCGGAGUGGGAGCCGAAGUGCAUUGGAAAAUGGUUCACCGGGAGAGAAAACUUACUAGCUCAGGGAAGAAGAAGCGGCGGAAGACGCGAGUAUUUAAAGGACAGUUCGAGAGAAGGGUAAAGGCGGGAUUUUUACCGUGCCGUCCAUGCAAAUUUUGAAGAGAGCGGUUGCCCGCGGGUGCUUUAUUUGAGAAAAUGCAAUCAUCAAAGAGAAUAUUCCGGAGCGAAAUGGGUUUUGACACAUUUACUGUUGCACUUUCUCUGGAGAGAAAAGUCAGAGUUGAGAAAAUUUUGGAGCAAAAGAUAUGUUUCACUCCGAAACUGGGGGGCAUGUGUUGACAUCGGAUUUUGACACGUGUUAACGUCGGCGUCAAAAGAGAGAAAGGUGGCCGAUGCGGAAAAACAAGGGAGCUACAGCUGAAGGAAUUGGCCAAUGGAGCUACAGUGUUUCAGCUGAUUGACUGAGGGAGUCAGUGGAGGCUGGCCAAUUGGGAGCCAGAGCGGCUUGGCCGAUGUGAACCUAAAGUGGGCUAUGAUGGUGAUUAGCCGAAGAUGAAGAUUGGCCGUAAGAAAAUAGUAACCGACUCUGAUGCGGGUUGCGUUCAUGUGUAAAUAUUUGUUAUCUUUAAAUUAGAGAUAAAUCCUAGUCAGUUAGGAAAUCAGUUGUAAGAGGGUAUAAAUAGGUGCCUCGUAAGGUUUGUAAAAUAACACAUGAAUCAAUAAUACAAAUCUACUUUUUCCAUGUACUUUACUUUCAAGUCGGCGACUUCGCCAAAUCCUUUUCUUUUCACGAGUUCGUACGAGUUGGCAGGGCUGCAUCAACACGACCUCCGGCCAAUUUGUAAGUUCCAUGUAUUGAGUAAUAUCUAAGCUUUAACUUUGGGUGCAUCACUGUGGUUUCGUUUAGAUUUAUUCACCGGUUAUCGAUAUUAACUAGAAUUAUAGGUUUUACCUAUUGUUUUAGUUUUAUAACAAGUUAUCCAGCUUGAGAUACAAACUGUCAGCUUUUAUCAUUAUUUUUAUCUAUUUUGAUAUAGCCAAUUAGAUCUGUUCCAAGUGUUGCUUUUGUAGCAUUGUUUAGGUUGCUCUAGUGGUUUCUCUUACACUUGCUAUGUGAUCAUCGGCUGUUUUAUAGCCGGUCAUAUCUACAGUAAUUCGGCCGAUUCGUUGAUACGUCCUUCAAAACAGAUCGGAACUUUAGCCGAUCAAAGCCUUUGAAUUUAAUACUUUUGUUUCCUUGUCAAUCAAUAGGUCAGAUUGACUGGCACACCGCACGUACCGCACCAAGGCGAUAACCCGAACAGGAGCUAAGCAGAUGCUCCCGGGUCGUGUGUCUGAUGCUAAGAGUCGUCGGCUGAUUUUUAGCGUCAACACCGAUCACCUGUAACGGCCUUUUCCUUGGUAUACUUGUCUAGAAGCCUAUCAAAGGUGACUUUCUCCCUGGGGCUACUCCCUUGAUCUUUUUCCAUAAUGAGCUUCAAGGUCCCGAUCUCAGGAUGCUUUGGCUUUAACAUUCGGGGACGGCCCUUGAAACGAACCGAUCUGACCAGUUCAGUCUGGCCAACAGAUUCGAACGGCGUGUGACCUGAUGCCGAGGGUGACGCUCCCCCCUCCCCCCUGUGUCCAGAGGCUUUUAUAGUGAUUUUGAAUGAUUCUUUGCCAUCUGGAGUCUUUUCAUACACCACCUCCCUUGUCAAUUCUUUGCCUCUCAAAUCGGGCUUCUCUUCCCUGAUCACCACAUUUUUACCCUUAGUUGCUUUGGUUUGAUGCGGCCAAACCAGUACUUUGGGCUACUUAAUAUCCAUUGUACUGAUAGGGAAAGGUGCCUUGUCCACUUGUAUCUCAUGAAUUUCAACCGGCCUUCAUUUAUAGCCGAUUGAAUAUGUCGACGGAACACAUUGCAAUCAUUAGUAGCAUGAGAAAAGGAUGUAUGAAACUUGAAGUAUGCUUUUUUUUCAGCUCUUCGAGUAGAGGCAUGGUAUGAGAUAUUUUUAGAUGUCCAAGUUUAAGCAAUUCAUCAAAAAUACGAUCACACAUCGAAACAUCGAAAGUAAAUUUUACUUCUUCUUGCUAACUCUUUUGGGCCGGUUUAAGAGAUACACAAGAAUAAGAUUUAGCCUUAGAAGGCCACACAAAUUCAGUAAUAUAAACUUCGUUGUCAUCGUCGUUCAAACUAUCAGAAUCAUAUUCAAUAGCAUGCAUAUUAGACCAACGAGACUUAAAGUUAUCCUUUUCUUUAGCAAUUCUAAGCUCCAUUGCCAAAGCCUUCAUAAGUACUUGUGCAAUAGUGUGAAGCUCAAAACCUUCUAGCCGAUCCCUAAUGGAGGAUCUCAAACCCUUAAGUGCAAGAUCGGCCAAAUCACUAUCCAAAAGUGACAAAUUAAAGCACCAGUUUUUAGUUUCUUUGAACUGUCUUAUGUAAUCAAAGACAGAUUCUACUUUACCUUGCCUAACCGAUGUUAAAUCCGUCAACUUUAAUUGAAAACUCCCAGUGUAAAAAUGAUCAUGAAACUUUUGCUCUAAUUGUUCCCACAAAUCAAUAGAGCUGGGAGCCAAAGAUGAAUACCAAGCGAAAGCAGUUCCAGUUAAUGACAAGGAAAACAAGCGAACUCGUAAAGCCUUAUAAUAACUCGCUUCGCCUAGUUGAGCCAAAUACUGACUAAUAUGCUCCCAAGUAGUUCGGUUAUCUUCGCCACUAAAUUUAACAAAGUCGGGCAUGCGCCAACCGACUGGAUAGGGGACAUAGUCAAAAUCAGAUUGAUAUGGCUUCUGAUAUAAUUUUGAACUGCUAGUAUCUAUGCCGAAUUUACUUUGCAUCAAAGCCAACAUCUCCUCUCUAAAUCUUCUAAUCUCGUAAAGGGAGUGUAACUCUAAUUGCUCUUUGGCUGAUGUAUUCACAGCACUUCCGUGCGUGGGGGGCGGGGGGGGAGGGGUUUGCCAUUCUGAAUACGGUGCAAAUCAGAAAACACGUCAUUCGAAAUUCCCCUAGAUGCAACAGUGGUGUUAGGGAUUGGGGGUGAUGUGUACGCUAUUAUGCCCAUCAAGGACGUGUUUAUUCCAACCUCAACGCCAUAGUCAGAAGCAAUCGAGCCAGGCACAACAUCGAGUGGCACAGGUGUUUCGGGGACAAUGGCCAACUGGCCGGCCUGAACAGCAUGACCGGUCAGACCACCCGCUUGGACCGGUCUGACGACCUCAGCCGUGUUCGGCUUUGGCGGUUGGACCCGGGGCGGCAUUUGUCCCUUGUAAAAGUUCAACGGCAUGCCAUAUGCAGGGUUUUCAGGAAUAGUCCCUGUAUUUGCCGAUGAACUCAUAUGUACAGCUCCACAUGAAUUAGCUUGAGAGAAAUCAUUUUUAUUAGAUGAAACAGAUUUAAUUCAUACAAGUUGAUCUGUUCUUGCCAUUAAUGUAGCAGUAACCCUAUUUUGUUCAGCAAGGUUCUUACGAAGCCCUGCAUUAACGAUGGCUUGAUCCGAGGGGAGAUUACUUACAUCGCGUAUUCUUCAAUCAUGCUAUCCUUCAUCUUCAUCAUGGGCAACUCGAAGUCCUGCACUCUCAUCGUCUUGCCCUUGCGAUCUUUCUUGACGCCCACGAGAUAUUGCAUCUUGACGUAUUCCUGGAGCGUCGCAAUGUUCCGCUGCUCCUCCUCGCUGAGAUCCUCCAUGGAUGCCAUGAUGUUGUCCUUAUCGAUGUCCAUAGCAGAUCCCAUCUUACUAGGGUUUUCCGGAACGAUUGUAAAAUCAGAUCUUUCUUCCCCAGCGGAGUCACCAAAAUGUGUUGACGCUUUUUCCGGUCAACACACGAAUGCGCUAGCUUGCGCAUGCACCAGUGAUCACCUCGUCAGCGCUUCCGCACCUAGCUGGUCAAACAGGUCAGGGGGCCGGUCAGACCGGUCCUCGCAGGGACGCCGCAAAAUCCUAGAAACACCACCUCGGGAGGGACCCAGUCGGAGAUGGUGCACCUAGGGUUGUUCUGAUGUCGGUCAGGCCAUUCAGAAUGUCCUCAAACGCCGUCGAGAUGAAGGAGGAAAGCUAGGUGUUUUAAAAGUUAGGGUUUGGAGAUAAAAGUGUAAAAGAUUUGUUUGACGAUUAGGUGUUAGCCCUCAAUCGGCCAGGACCCUUUAUAUUUAUAGGGUGGAAGGCCUUUUCCCGCAACAAAAUCCCGAUUCAUCUCCAAUUCAACCGAGACUCUAGUUUUUGCCUCGGACUCGGGCUGACCGGUCUGACUGGUUGGGAUAGCCGGUUAGACCGGUUGGCGCCUGCUAGAUCGGCUUUGAGCCUGAUCAGCGCCGCAGCCACUUUUGGGCGUCAACACUUCUUAUCCAAAAUUCAUGUAUCUAUCUCUCAUCUAUAUUGUUAUAUGUCGUGUUUCCUGAACAUGGAUGGAAGGCAUACUACAUAUGCUUGAAUCCUAAUGGCAGAGAUUGUCUGUUCCAAAGUUGUCAAGUCCCGGCUGAGAUUGCUCAUGAACUGGAUGCAGAAAGGAAACGAAGCGGCAUCUGAAAUUAUGAAUCAUGUAACAUGGAUCGCAAAGAGAAACUGGGGGUAAUAGAAGAAUAUAAUUGGAAUGUCCUAGGGAACAGGUAAAAUAAUAUUGGAGCUAUUGUUUGUAACUGAGGACAGGAUUAAACAGUCAGCACAUGGGUUGCUUCUUGGACUUGCCUCUGAUCUACAACUACAUCUACAUCGAUGAUGACCUUUAGUUCGCAUACUUUUGUGUUCCUGCUUCGUACUGGUAUGACACAUGAGUUCUUGUUGUCCCAUAAAGUUGCAGCUCUGAUUCAAGAUGCUGUCGAAAACCAUUUCGUUUUUGAAAGCUUUAGCUAAGAUGGCAGAUCCACAGGUUAGAUACUGUUCGUGACCGAAAUUGACAGAUUCUUUGUAAGGAUUUCGACUACACUAGAGGUAAGACCUCCCCUCCCUAUAAAUAUAAAGGGCCAUGGCCGAUUGAGGGUAUCCAAUCGAUCAAAAACAUAUCUUUUAUCUUUUUUACCUUUUUCCUUUGCCUAGCUUUUCCAAUCUACUAUUUGUUGUCCCUCCUUCGUCUCUACGUCGAUAGAGGGCGUUCUAGGUGGCAUGACGAUCCCAGAGCAACCCUGCGUGUGCUUGCCCUGACGGGAUCCUUCCCAGGCAAGUGUUCGUUGGUCCAUCGUUGGGUUGCCCAGCGAUCUGGUUUGACCGGCCUGUGCAGAGGCGCUGCAAGGUGCGCCCCUACUAGCUGCACGUUCGAGUGUGUUCGUAUGUUGGCCCGAUUUUAGUGCCAAUAGAUACCAACCCGUAAUGACAGAGUAACAUCUGAAAUGGUUGGACAACAUGCAGUUUUGUGCUUGAGCUAAGCAGGUACUCGCAGUGGUUGAAGCACAUCACCACCGCGUCACAUGGCCUCGGCGACACGCAGGUGGAGUCGAGGUACGAAAGAUUUGCUUCCCCACCUAACAUGGCACUCCCUAGACCCCAUUACUUCCGGCUUCCACAUCUCUACGUUGAGAGAGAUGAUUCGCAGGAGAAUAUAAGAUGGAAUUAUACUAGGACGCUUGAAUCUAGCAGAAAUGGUUGCCAGUAUAACUGUUUGCUUCAUCCACAAGCAGUUGGAAUAUCUGUUUGCUUCAUCCAAAAGAAGUUGCCUUUCAUAGGCCAAGGCUUUGCUGAAUUCCUUGUUUGUGGGUGUUCAAGUUGUAUUUGCUUUGUUGUCCUUAGCUUUCUUGGUCAAAUGUUAGCACCAUUUCAUUUUUACCACGGUUGUUCACUACUAUAUAUGCCUGUUGGGCAAUUCUUCUAGCCAACAUAACAGACUCUCAUGUUUCGGUCAAGUCAAAGAAACAGUUCUUUUAGGCAAAAGUUAAAAUCAGAAACAAUCCUUGUCAACAUUUUUCCAUUGUAGAGACCAACUGCUCCACCACUCACCAUCAGAAUCAUCUAUAUUAAUGACCCAUCAACCUCUUUUUUCUUUCAACGUCUUUGCCUCUUGGGCCACAUUCUCGUUCAAUUUUAACACCCAUAAUAGUAUCUCUCUACACACAGGUUAGCUGUCCACAAUUUUCACCCAAUCUGGUUGACGGUAUGUUCUAACAACCUCUAAGCUAAAUCUUUGCUCACGAUCCAAAGUUCAUCAUCUAAUGUCUAAUGUAUACUGUUAUAUCUUACUUUUUCCGAGCAGGGGAGCGAUGCUUGAACUCUAAUGGCAGAAUUAGUCAGUGCUGCGAUUGUCCAGGAGACAGUUGGCCAAAUCCUAUCUGGUCUGGUUCAAAAAUAUGAGGACAAAGAGGAAUCAAAUGAGAAAAGAAACUUGGAGAGGCUAGACAUGGCACACAUCAGGCUGGAGGCUAGAGAUGGCACACAUCAGGCUGGAGGCUGCUCUUGAGACAUCUAAUAAGUGGCAGAUCACUGAUGCAUUCUCAUUGCAUUGGUGUAGGAACCUGAAGCAUGCUGCUCAAGAGUGCGAUGACACACUGCACAAAUGCAAACAGAGAAUCCUAGAAGACGAACAAAUGGAGCGGGAGGUAAAGAAUUCCUCCCUCCCUAACCGUAUUGUGCAUGCUACCAAGUCAUUUGCUCUCUCCAUAUUUAAAUGCAAUGACAAUGACUUGAGAAGAUCCAUUGCUCAAAGAUUUGAGUGGUAUGCAGAUGGUGCUAGUGAGUUUCUGAGAUUCAUAGAGCUUGGUGGCACACCACGCCGCCACAUGCCCUUGGAAUCUCUUGUCAAAAACCUUUUUGAAGGCAAGGAACUACAUCAUAAAAAUUUUCCCCUUUGUUUCAAUUAUGGUUGACUCCCAUCCAUAAUCCAGUGCAUGGAAUAAAUGUUAGCCUAACAUUUAUCCAGUAUGAUGGUACACCAUAGGGUAAUAUCUCCUUUAGUUUGGCCGUACAGCUCUCGGAGAGUAUAGACAUAGUUGGGAUCGCAGUUAAGUGUCUCCAGGUAUUUGCCCCUCAUUUCAAGUGUAAAUUUGAAAAUAUUAGAAAUGAACUUACUCAACUAUCCAAUGAAGACUUCUCAUGGGGCCCUCUUUUUAUUCAGGCAAUAAAGAACAUUGGGACAAAUUCAAUAGCUUGUUCUCUCAGUUCCUUCGGCCAAACCCAUUUUGCUGCAAGGAGCAUGGACGGCAGCAGGUUCAACGUUUUAGCAACAUGGACAUGGCAUGAUUAUCAGAUGGUUUGCUAGAACAAGUAAUUCAAUUUACUUUGCAUUGCCACGUCUCACUACCUAUGUACAGAAAGACCAAAUUUCUCUGCAAGAUUAUCCAUAUCUGAAAGCUGGGAUCGUGUUUUUGCCCCAUGGCUCUUUAGAGGACAUGCUGCCAGCGAAUAGGAGUUCUGAGAUAGCGGCGAUAGUCCGCAAGGAGCAACAUUUCUUGCAUACAGACAUUACCCUGGAACAGCUGGAAGAGAUUAUGCUGCCAAAGGCAAUAGAUUACUUCCACCAGAAUGCCGAAGCAAUGGUUUACCAAAUGCUUUGGAAGUCUAAACAUGGCUUUGCACUUAUUCAGGUUGAGAAGCCAUGCAGGAGAACAUGGAGAUCAAGCAUGAGAAGACGGAGCACUUCUAGGGGAGCUAGGAAAAGAAAGCUGUUUCAAGGAGAUGAUGAGGAGCUCAUUACGUAUUGGAUACGUCUCUAUCACUGGCUUGACUUAUGAUUUACACAUGUGCCUGUCCGGUUGCAAAGGUCGCUCAUGAAUUGGAUUCGGAAAGAAAAAGAAAUUUCGAUAGCAGCACCACACUUAUACCUGAAAUUCGAAAUCAUUUCAUUAAAGAAGAAGAGGGUAAAGAAAAACAAAACCACAACAGCUCUGGGAUCUAGAAGUGCUAUGUUCUACAUUAGGAACCUAUGCAACUGUAGCACAUCACUUGUUCUUGGUUUCAAUUUGUGUGUCUUGUAUGUAUGAUGUUUGGUUCUCACCAGUUGAGUAUACACUGGGAAUUACUCAAUUACAUGGGAGAUC